RNAcentral lists this long non-coding RNA (63089 nucleotides) under Medicago truncatula (barrel medic). RNAcentral describes it as "long non-coding RNA (MTRU_LNC000588)". The stretch from base 49932 to 50020 matches the Rfam family "MIR2617 microRNA precursor family". Lineage: Eukaryota; Viridiplantae; Streptophyta; Magnoliopsida; Fabales; Fabaceae. The record is from RNAcentral.
AAAAAAAAAAAAAAAAAAAAAAAACUUAAAAGUAAAACAUUGCAUAUCAAUAUAAGUGCUUGAGAUUUUAUAUAUUCAAAAAGAGUGUACUCACGUUGUUUUCAACGUCAGCAAUGAUAACUCCUUUUCCUUUUACUUCCGUUUUUCUUUUACGUUGUGGAAGUAUUCCUAAAAUCUCAUAAUUCUGAACAGCUAUCAUGGACCGCAAAGUAAGACGUCUUUUUUUAUGAUGAUAUGUCUGCAGCACAAAAUUGAUUAAAUAUCGAUCAUGUCAAUAAGAAAAUAUAAGAAAACAUGUUUAAGAUGUUGAUAUAAUAAUAGUUUGGGAUAUGUCAAAAUGGUUAUCGGGCCACUAAUGUUCUCAUCUAUAAAGACUAGAAUUUAGGUGGAAAUCAUUUAGUUCUUAUAGAACAAUAUUGGCUUCAGGAAAAAAAAUUGAGCGGCAAAUAUUAUUAAUAACAAAAGUCUCUACACAAGAAGAACAGAGACCGACAUACAAAAUCUAAAAGAAAAAACCAUUAGAACUAAUAUAGACAUUGCUUAAACUUAGGGCUACCUUGAACACCAAUAACAAAUAUAACCACCAAAACUAAAUUCAACACAGAAAUCAACGUCACACCCAUCAUACUUUCUCGCGAGCGCUCAUAGAAACAAAAUUCAAUCACCUACAGACUACUGCUCACCGUAACCACUCUAAAAAACCACCCAAUCGAUUAAAACCCCCCAAAAUGAUAAUGUCAACUUCUCAACACCACAUCAAACCCCAAUUACACACUCGAGCAAUGACUUAUUCUCACACUCCUUUGAAUUCCUCCACAACUCAAUCUCCAGUCCACCGGAGAAGACACCAAAACAAGCCCAAAAACUUGAGUCAAGAAACUAACUUCCGAUAUCGAAUCAAAAGUGAUAGGCCCACCAGACUCAAGAAAUAUAAGAACGCCAUUGAUAGCUUUUGAACUUCAACAUCUUUAAAAACUAUUUUAGCUUUGCAUUCUUAUUUAAUUUAUAACUAUCAACUUUCAAAUUCUUUAAUUUUCUCAAGGAAAAUUGUUAACUUCUCAUGUCUAAUAAACUUAUUUUAACUUAAGCAAAAUAACUUUAAAACAUUGUAUGCUUGCUUAUAACUUAAAAUUAAUAUUUUGUAAUACAUAUACUUAAAUAGUUUUUCUUAUAUCCAUGCUUAUAUUUAUUGAGGAAAAACAAGAUCAUGAUUAGUCAUUUCCCAUUGUAUCCCUAAUUACAUGAUUUUUUUUUAUCAAAAGUGUUCAUUUCAAAAUUGAUAACAUACCCUAUCGAUCCUAGAUCCGUUGCUUCUUGGUGUCUCUUUAAUUUCCCAAUUGUUCAUCCAUUCAGCUGUAAACCCUUUGGAAAAUUUGCAUGAUAUUGGUUCAGCGUCAUAAAUUACUUCAUCUUCCUGGUCAAUUGACAUACAUGAUACAAGUGUAAUUAAACUAACUACAUAUAUCUCACAAAAAUUAAUACAAUGCAUGUACAAAAUAAGAAUAUAAUUUAUUUUAUUAAAUAGAAAAUCUAAUAUGCCAGAGUUGGUUUAAUUUAUAUAGAUAUUUAUUCAUUAUUGUCAAAGUAUUGAUAGUAAUAAAGAGAAAUUUGUUAAAAUAGAAUGAAGAAGUGUACUAUAUACAUAAAAGAAAACAAACUAGUAAAUAAGGUGCAAGAUGAUCAAACUAGAUUCUUUAAUUUUAUAAUUCAUAUCAACGAACAAUAACUCUUCCAAAUCAAAACACAUUAAAGAAAAUAUACAUUUCAAUUAGAUCUCGAAUAAAAACUAGAGAAAUAAAAUAUAAAGGAAGAUAUUCAAAUAGAUAAAGGUCUAGAAACAUAAGGGGAUUAUAGAAAAAUUUCAUGCUUUCAAUAUGUAAUUUUAGGUGAUAAUUUCAUUAUUUACAAUAUUGUAUGGUAUGUGUAUCAUCCCUUAUUAGAUCACUUGCUCAUGUCAAAUUUUAGUUUUCCCAUUUAAGAAUUUAAUGUGAUGUUACAGAUCACACAGUUAAAAAUUGGAUAAGUAUUGUAUUAAAAAAUCUCUAUUGAAAUAUACAAUAUAUUUUAAAGUUUGAUAUAAUAAAUUUGGAAAAUGAAUGACAAACAAGUUUUUAUAUAUCCGUAUACUAUGAUUGAACCAAAAGGAUAUGCAUAGAACAAGUACAACUUCUAGAGAGGAAAAAAAACAUAUAUUAAAAUAUGAUUUAUUAAAAUGGAUAUUAGAAAAUAAAAUAAAAAACCUAACAGAUCAAACAAUGAAACUGUAGUAUCUACCUUUUCCUUCAGAGUCUCGAUAUUUGAAUUUGAAUUAGCGGCCAUGGAUAGGAGCUCUGCUUAUUGCAAAACAAAGUGAACCCUAAUGAUUAGGUUUCAAAAUAUUUUGACAUCAAAAAUAUAAAAUGAUAUCCCUUUUAAAAGAGAUUAUUGUAACAUUGUAAGAGAGAAAGAUAAUAAUAAUAAUAAUAAUAAUAAUAAAAAUAAUAAUAAUAAUCAUAAUAAUAAUCAUAAUAAUAUAAUGAUAAUGAUAAUAAUAAUAAUAAUAAUAAUAAUAAUAAUAAUAAUAAUAAUAAUAAUAAUAAUAAUAAUAAUAAUAAUAAUAAUAAUGAUGAUGAUGAUGAUACUAAUAAUAAUAGUAAUAAUAAUAGUAAAUAUAAGUUACUACCAUAAAUUUUAAGAUAAAGUUAAUAAUAGUCUUUUUGUGCUUUCGUUUCAAAAUUAUUCAAAGUGAUGACUGAACCCUUUUAUUAGAAAAAUAUUUCCUACAAAAUCAUUUGAUUUUUAAAAAGGUCCCUGCAAAAUAUUUUACUUUUGAAAAUAGUGGUGGGACUAUUUUCAAAAGUAAAAUAUUUUGCAGGGACCAAAAACAACAACAAAAAUUUACAGAGACUAAAAACAAAACGAGACAUAUUUACAAGGACCAAAACUAUAUUUUAGUCUAAUAUCAAAUUCUUACCAUAUAGUUGACUCCUAUUGAAAGUUAUAUUAAAAAGUCAAUAUAUAUAAAUUAGGAAAAUUAUAAGUAAUUUGACUAAGAUUAUAUAUAUAUAUAUAUAUAUAUAUAUAUAUAUAUAUAUAUAUAUAUCAGUCAAAGGUUUCUUUAAAAAAAUCAAUAUCAGUCAAAGUAUAUAUAUAAAUAUUAAAAUAUAAUAUGUCCAUCUAUUAAUACCAAUUAAAGCAUAUAUAGAUAUUAUAAUAUCUCAUUUCAAAAAAAAAAAAGAUAUUAUAAUAUAAUAUUAUAUAUUUUUUAGGAUAUAUAAUAAUAUAUACACACACAUAUAAUGAAUUUUAAGAAUUCAUUGAAUAAUUGAUGUAUUAUAUCUAUAAUAUUGAUUAGAUACACUAAUUAUUCAAUGAAGACCCUAGUACUCAACAAUCCGUCUUUGCAUAGAUCGAAAAUCAUAGUACACACUGAUUUAAACAUCAACAUUCACACCACUCACCAAUCUCAGAAAGCAACAAUUCACGUAUCAAUCACAACAAUAACUUCGUUAUAACUUAAUGUUUUUAUCUCCCCAUUAUCAUCACUCUUAAUAUCGUCAAUUAUCACAACAAUAACUUCAUUAUAACUUAAUGUUUUUAUCACACCAUUAUCAUCUUUCUUUAUAUCAUCAAUUUUCAAAAAUCACCGUCUCAUAUUUUCAAUUAUCGUUGUCUUAUACUCCUCUAGUUAAUUUGUAUCUUAGACUCACCAUUACUCUAAAGGGAUCACUUCAAAAUCACCUAAACACACUAUCAUCACCUAAGUACAUCUAAAACAAUGUAGUGAUUAAAAUAAGUAUCAAUCUAAUUAGAUUCAAACAUGUGAAAAAGGGAAAAUUUGAUGCUGUCAAAAUUUGAUACGAAUCAGAGAUCUUUGAAUCGAUUCAAAUGGUUAAAAAAAGACCAUAAGUAAACAGUGAUACGAAUCAAGGAUGUGUGAUUCGAUUCAAAAUUUUCCAGGUGAAGAUUGAUAUGAAUUAAAAAUAUAUGAAUCGAAUCAAUGACUUGGAAAACAGAGUUUUAGCCUUGGGAUUACUUUUAAAUUGUCCAAAAACCCCUGUUUUCAAACCCUUAACUCACCAAUUCAUCCUCAAAAAUCACCCUUGGAUUACCCUAACAUCCAAACACUAAUUUCCACAAUUCACUUAAUACAACAAUUUCUUUCAUGUUUAAUUCACUAAUAAAAAACCCUAGUUGUUUUAAUCUUUACCAUUCAACCUAUACUCACCAACACCACACCUCAACACCAAUCAUCGUCAAUUUUUUUUACUGAUUCUCUAUGAUCAAAGUAUACAUCAUAAGGCUCAUAACUAAUCUAAAUUUUCGGAAUUAAUAGACACAACAAUAUAAGGAUUUUUGAACCAUUUCUCUCUUCUAUCACAAUUAAAAACUCAAAGAUGAAGGAUUCUCCCCUUACCUCGAAUUCACAGAUGAUUGCAGCUUUAUGCUUGAUUCCUUAGCUAGUGCCCUUCCCUCUUCUCCUAGGUUUCACGUACACUCUUUGCCUGCUCUGCCUCCUUAACCCUAGUUCUUCCUUUGCUCCUCUCAAUUUCUUUCUUUUUCUCUGUAACCCUAAUCCUCUAAUACUCUUCUCUAUUUAUAACCACUAUCUGGGCUUAAAUUUCUCACAUAAUUUUAUACACACACUUGUUAUAUGCACCUCUAGUCUGGUUACUAUAUUCUUUCGGUAACUACACAACCUUGAUGUUUACACCUCCCUCUGUCUAAAGCACUAAAACGCUACACAACUUGCUACUUACACUCCUUUUCUACUCAGUUUUACUGAUGCACCUCUGUUUGCAAUCCACUUUCUUAUUCUCACUAAAAACUGUAUUUUAUUCCUAAAAUAGUUUUCUCCCAUUAUUAACCGACUAAUUAACUCCUCUUCCUCCUCAUUAUUCACGACAUCUAUACCCACGAAUAAUUUAAUUUACUAAUAUCGAGCAAUCAAUACUAAAAAUAAUAAUAAGACUAAUAUUAUCCAAUAAUAAUACUAACAUAUUGAUAUUAAAAAUUGGGGUGUUACGGUUUGGUUGUUUCACAAAAUAGUUUGCAAUUCACAAAAUUAACUAUUUGUCAAUACAAUUAAUUAAUUUCAUUAGGAUUUCUACUGAUUUCAGGAACAAGCUUUACAAAAAUCUAGAAUUUAAUUUACUGUAAUUUUGGAAGAAGCGUCACAAAACCAUAGUUAAUCUAAAUAUCAAAUCCAAUUACACCUAUAACAAAAUAUUACAGAAUCUAAUGAUAUUUAUUUGAAUAUUGAUUCAAAUCAAGUGUCUAAAUAAAUAAAUUUGACUAACCUUGAUAGAAUUAAACUUUACAAAGUGACAUAAUUGAAAGAAGUAUUCAACAUAAAUCAAAGAAAAUAUAUUGUAAUCAACAUAUUGAAAAUCAAAAGAAAGAGAUAUUAAAUCAUCGAAAUGAAUUUGACAUUAGAAAUUCGAACCUAAAAAUAUAAAAUGGAAUCCUUGACUGCUGAAUAGAUAUACAAAAUUAGCUUCAAUGGAGUUUAAUUUCCCAACAACAAAAUACGAAAACAACUGAAUGAAAAGAUGGUUUGGUCUCCAACAAAAGAAAAACCCUUAUUUAUACUCCUAAAAUAUCAAAAUCUAAUCACAUUUUUGUCUAAACAAUUUGAACAUGAUUUAGGAUUAGGUAAUUAGCCCAAUUAGACAAUAUUAAGUGGCCUAAAAUUGUAAUUGAAGCUUUCUUUGCUUGUGUUGUUAUUUUGAUGAUUUUCACUAUGACUCUUUAAAGUUGUUUAUUUAUGUUUUUGUUUUAGGUAGUAUAGAUUAAAGCUAUGUCAAAGCAUCUAGCAAUCUUUGUCCCUUUGUUGCCUUGUGUGAUUUUUUGUCUUGCAUACAAUGCCUGCAUACAAUUAUACACUACAUGUCUUUUGAAUAGAGUCAUUUUAGCCUUAAUCAACUCACCGUUAGUCGCUGACUUGGAUAGAAUCGUUUCAUUGAUUUUCUGAAACGUAUCAUAUUUUAAUCGACUCAAAUCAACUUGAAUCGUAUCAUGAAAACUAAUAGACUUUUAGUAAGUGUACUCAAAAUGCAUCGAAGUAAUAAAAUAAGUUCGUAUCCAUGAGCAUUGUGUUAAUCUCAAUUCAACAAUAUGGUUAAUAUUCAGGAUGUGUAAAUUAUUUUGAUUCCCGAGGCAGUAGAUUUGAUGGCAUAAAAUUAAGGGUUAAUGGUGUUUUACCCCCUGUAAUAUAGGUCAUUUUUUAUUUUCCCCCUGUAAAAUAUUUUUUUUUAUUUACCCCACUGUAAAAUAUAUAUUUUUUGGAAUAGCCCCCUAAUAGGUCAUAAAAAAACGACUUUAUUUUUUUUUUUUGCAGAAUUUUUCGUUUUUUUAUGACCUAUUAGGGGGGUGUUCCAAAAAAAAAAAAAAAUCAGAGGGUAAAACAUCAUUAACCCUAAAAUUAAAUAACAGAAAAUAAAGAUUUGUUUGAAAAAUAUAUGAGAGAUGAGACUAGGUCUUUCGAAUCCUCUGAGUUCCCGUAUUUGCUACACUGCACCUAUUCUUAUGAAUGAUUUUCUAGUUCUACGAUAGUUAACAAAAUAGUUCUAAUAAAUCCCUUGAGUUAGGACCCUCUUCUCAAACUACAACCCCUAAUUUCUUAGGUGGUUUAAUAAUCUUUGAAGGUUUAAGCACGUUAACCUAAUAUCACUAACAAAAGAUUAUCCAUUCCUAGACUAACCAUGUUUAUUAGAACAAUUCAAUUAUGUCUAAGUUGAAAGCUAGGGUCUGUAGUCAUUCAUUCUCACUAAAUCAUGUUUAUAUUUGAUCAGGAUUUAAAAAGCAUUAAGAACAAUUGAAUUAAAUAAAAACUAGAUUGUCAUUCACAAUAAAUAGAGUUUCACAUCAACAUGGAUCAAUUAGGGUUACAGAGAAUCAUCUCAGACCUAAUCUCUAAGAGAGUUAGCUACUCAUAAUUGAGUUUACAAAUAGCAUAAUCAAUAGUGGAAUCAAAAUAUACAUGAACUGGUAAAAGGUUGAAGAAAUCGCCCUCAUAGCCACCUUGUAGUCUCAAAAUCGCACUUUGCUCUUCUCAAAUCGUAACCUUGUUUUAGAAACUGGCUUCAGCUUAAAUAGGCAAUUUUCCCAUUCUGGUGUUGUCAAAAACGUGUCACGAUUUUUGAACACGUGUCACGAUUUUAGUGGCAGUGGCAAACUCAAACUUUUUGUACUUUCUUGCUUUUUGCACCUCCAAGCUGUCUAAAAAUGCUCCAUACUUAAUAAAAACAUCAACACAACUGUUUCUUCAAAAUCUUCUAUUUUUCUCGCUUUCCUUGUUGUUUAAGCUUGCUUGUGAACUCAAAAAUAUCAUAAAAAGACUCUAAAAAUAUGAAAUGACGGACUAUCAUCACACCCCAAACUUGAACUAUUCCUUGUCCUCAAGGAAUCUACGUGGAAUAUUGACAAUCGACUGUAAAAUAACAAUUACCUGAUCAAGCGAUAAUACCCAAAAGUUCAACUCCUUACUAGCUAAAGAUGAGCUAGUUUGACUCGUACGUAUCCACCAAAUCACAACUCCACACAACAAAUUGAAUAGGUUUCACACACAAUCGACAUGCAGGUCUACAUAUUACGAUAGACUUGAAGAUUUUCUAAACGUCAAUCAAAGUCAAUAUCACUACACACUUUGAGGUCUUUCAAGGUUAUAACGGGGCUUAGGUGAAGGUGGGAUAAUAUUUGAAUAAGUAGGCUACACAAAAUUUGAGUUAGGCAUUCCUACGGAAGUUAAAGCACAAAAUUCAAUCCCUCUUCCCCCUUUGGAACAUCAAAACUUGUAAAGGUACUAGAGAAUACUUGUAACUGUUGGGACAAUCGAGUUUAAAGUUACUCGGAUUUUCAAUGAUUUGUCCCUUUUUCAUUUUAUUUUUUUGAUACACCAUUCUUGUGUAUUAUUUUUCAUGAUAAAGUUCUUCCUUUGUUCUCUAGUACCCCCACCCCAAACAUAGUUGGCUGCAAAUUCCAAUAGCAACCCCAAACUUAUUAUUAGCAACAUUCUACAAUGCCUAACUCAGAUGUAACAUUUGGGUUAAUUUCUAAAAGUCUCUAGGCUUCACUUGUAAUUUGCCACCGAACAAAAAGGACCUAAACCUACUGGCUCAAUUUGGCUUAAAAAGGAUAAAAUAUAACAAUUAAAAGCAGGGUAGGCUUCAAAAGGCUCAUAGGACAAAGCACUUUUGCCUCAGUCUGUAUAUGACAAAGACCAAUCAACAGUAGAGAAACAAUGCAAGUUCUAGAAAUGUAGUUGCAUGAAACACUUUAUAUAAGUAAAAUUGAAAAAAAUAAAAUUUGGCCAUGAAACUUACAGUGUUAGAUUUAUGGGAGUUGUGACUACCUAUCUCGCACUACCGUACACCUCACCUUUGAAAUAUUAAGUCACUCCUCCUUAUGAACUUUUGGAAUACCAUUUGAACAAAUAUUUGUUACUAGACUGGAAAAGGUCAAUAAACAAGCAAAUUCAUCAAUAAUAAACAAGUUCAAGUUCAAUUACAUCAUAGGGGGAUACAACUGAGUUAAACCAAAAUGAAAAUUAAAGACAAAUUGUUUGACUCAACAAUAGAAAUAAAAUACUGAAAAUAAAGACAUAAUAAAAAGUAUGGGUUGCCUCCCACCAAGUGCUUUCUUUUACGUCAUUGAGCUUGACGCUUCAACCACUGUUAGGGUGGUAAAAAUGAUAGAAAGAAUAUAUCACCCUUCUUCUUCCUCUUGUUUGGCAGGAAUUCCAUGAACUUGCAUUGAAGAAUCAGAUACUCCCAUGCAUUCACUAUUAAUCCUUUGGAGUUUAAGCUCUCCCACCUUAGAGAAGGACAUGCAUCCAUUUGCACACGAGUUAUUCCUUUUACCCCUAUUGGUUGAAAUUUCAGAAAAAGACCAAUAUUUUUUACCUAUGGAUUUUCUUCCACCACAAUAGCAUGACAAUUAGUCUCCAUCUGAACCAACUUCUUCGGAGACUCGUACGCUUUCUCAACAAGAUCACUACAUUGAACAUCAAACUUUUCAAAUGAAACUUGAUUUGACAUCAAGAAAUCAUCUAGAAUAUUUUUUAAGUUGAGUAUUAUAAUCUAUGUUGACCACUUCCUGCUCUUUUUCUUUAACUAUGUAUUGCUCCUCGCAAAAGAGACUACCAUGAUAACCUCCACAAAAAUCGCAACACAUACUCAAUCUUGUUUCCAAAUAUAUAUGUAAAGAUAUCAUGCAUUUUUCAUAUCGUAGGAUUUCAAUCUCUUUAGAAUCUAUCAGUGAUCGACUGUCCCACAUUGCUACAAAACUCAGUGAAACCUUUUAGUAGCACAACACAAAGAAAUAUAUUCGAAGAGCAUAAAUCAUAAUUUUUUCAAUAUAUAAACAAAAAUAUAAAUGACAGAAAUCCUAAAUAAAAACAAAAAUGCCAAGUUGAAAUGAUUUAAAAGUCCCUGGCAACGGCGCCAAAAACUUGAUAGACUUUUAGCAAGUGUACUAAAAUUGCAUCGAAGUAAUAAAAUAAGUUUGUAUCCACGAGGACUCUGUUAAUCUUAAUUCAGCAAUAUGGUUAAUAUUGAGGAUGUGUAAAUUAUUUUGAUGCAUGAGGCAAUAGAUUUAAUGGCAUAAAAUUAAAUAAUAGAAAAUAAAUAUUUGUUUGGAAAAUAUAUGAGAGAUGAGACUAGGUCUUUCAAAUCCUCUGAGUUCCCCUGCUUGGUACACUGCACCUAUUCUUAUGAAUGAUUUUCUAGUUCCACGAUAGUUAACAAAAUAGUCAUAAUCAAUCCCCUGAGUUACGACCCUCUUCUCAAACUACAACCCCUAAUUCCUUAGGUGGUCUAAUAAUCUUUGAAGGUUUAAGCACGUUAACCUAACAUCAUUAACAAAUGAUUAUCCAUUCCUAUACUAACCAUGUUCAUUAGAACAAUUCAUUUAUGUCUAAGUUGAAAGCUAGGGUCAAUAGUCAUUCAUUCUCACUAAAUCAUGUUUAUAUUUGAUCAGGAUUUAAAAAGCAUUAAGAACAAUUGAAUUAAAUAAAAACUAGAUUGUCAUUCACAAUAAAUAGAGUUUCACAUCAACAUGGAUCAAUUAGGGUUACAGAGAAUCAUCUCAGACCUAAUCUCUAAGAGAGUUAGCUACUCAUAAUUGAGUUUACAAAUAGCAUAAUAAAUAAUUGAAUCAAAACAUACAUGAACUGGUAAAAGGUUGAAGAAAUCGUCCUCCUAGCCGCCUUGUAGUCUCAAAAUCGCACUUUGCUCUUCUCAAAUCGUAAGCUUGUUUUAGAAUCUGGCUUCAGCUUAAAUAGGCAAUUUUCCCAUUCUGGUGAUGUCAAAAACGUGGAACGAUUUUUGAACACGUGUCACGAUUUUAGUGGCAGUGGCAAACUCCAACCUUUUGUACUUUCUUGCUAUUUGCACCUCCAGACUGUCUAAAAAUGCUCCUGACUCAAUAAAAACAUCAACACAACUGUUUCUUAAAAACUUCUAUUUUUCUCGCUUUCCUUGCUGUUUAAGCUUGCUUGUGAACUCAAAAAUAUUAUAAAAAGACUCUAAAAAUAUGAAAUGAUGGAUUGUCAUCAAAAACUUCCUGACUUACCUUGAAUCGAUCAAAGUAAUUUGAAUUGUAUCAUUCUUCAUCUUGAGAUUUUUUAAUCGAUUAAAAAACUUGUAUGUCAUGUUUCAAUCUUCAUUAUUUCCAUAUUUGUUUUUUAGCUGUCUGAAUCGAUUCACACAUUAAGUGAAUCGAUUCACAUAGUUGUUUUUGAACAUAAAUUUGCACUUCUCACCCUUUUCUAUAUAUACUCACUUCCUCGUAACACCCAAGUCAUUGAAUCAGUUGCAUCUAUUCACUCUUGAGUCUCUAAACCUCAUUGUUCAUAUAUUCUUCAAGAUUAAACACUUCUUCUUAUAAUUAUUUUGUUCUUUGAGUCAUAAGAUUGCUAAAGUGCUAUAGGGAUUGUAAGUAGGGGUGUUCAGAACCGAACCGAUCCAAAAAAAACCGCCAACCGAUCCAAAAAAAACCAAAAACCGCAAAAAAUUGAUUUUUUUUUUUUUUGUGUUUGGGCCAUAAAAAUUAAAACCGACCGGUUCGAUUUAUAAUUUAAAAACUGGAUCGAACCGAACCGCACUUAUUAUACUGUUACUAGACGAUUCUAUUACUUUGGCCGGUUUUGUCAACUUAAACUCUUCAAAUCACUCUAAGACAAGGAUCUCUACCACUUCUUGAAUCUUCAAGCUUCUUCUUCUCUAACCCUUUUUCCUCUUCUCUUGCACUUUCUCUCUCUACCUCUCUCUAAGAAUCUUGGGAAAUGAAAAAUGAAUGGUAUUUUCUCUUAAGACAAGGUUUAUAUAGGUUCCCUCUCUAAUGGGCUUAACCUAAUGCCUUAGUGGACUUAACCCACUUCAACUCAAUUCUAAAAUGUUUCUACACACUCAACAGUAAAUUACCAAUAACAAUCACUUAACGGUAAAAUACUAAUAACGGUCACUUAACGGUAAAAUACUAAUUACUACACUAGUAACUUAGUAAAAUAAUGGUUCUCACACUAAAACACUAAAAAUAAUCCUCACCAAAAAUUACUACAUUACCCCUACUCUCAAAAAAUUAAAUAAAAAACUAAUUUUUUUUUGCUCUUUUAAAAAAAUUGUGUUUUUAUUUUGACUUGGGGCCUAUUUUUAUUUGAGAGCCGAGCCUCUAUUUUUGUAGGAACGGCCCUGAUGACCAUGAUUAAAAUUUAAAAAGAUCUAAACAUGUAUAAGAACAUCAAAAGUACAAAGAAAAGCUAAAAGACUAUGGUAGAAGAACUGAAUAAAGGUGAACCGGAAGUUAACGCCUUGGAUUAAAAAAAAAGGAUGCCAAUCAGAAGCCGAAGAUCUACAUCAAACUCUAAAGUAAAGAAGAUAUUGAGGGACCCAAAAGCCACAUUAGAUGUGUCCUCUUCUGGAGUUAUCUCUAUUAAUAGUACAUUUUCUCCUCUUCUGAUCACGUACAGAAACAAACAUAGAACUUCAAGGACAAAAAAAAUGAACUAAUAAUUCCAAUUUGAGCAAAGGAAUUUUGAACGUAUAAUCAACACCAUUAUCCAUAUCAGGAAAUGGCCCAACAUCUUUGAUUUGAAGCUUCUCAAUGACUCUUAAUGCACUGACACUCUUCUCCAGCGUCUCUCAAAUCCUUGCCUAUAUAAGGACUUUAACACUUGAAGAACAAUAACAAGACUCUGUUAUUUUAACUACGCCUUUACUCUGUCAAAUCAAAAAGCGCAUAGAACAGUUAAGAAUUUCUUAUAAAAGUUUGUAUCUUAGAAAUUCUAAGUUUAAGAGUUUAUUCAAUUUUUUUUUAUUGUUUACACCUCUGAUUGUAUAUCAAGUGUAAUAACAAAUUUGUUUCCUUGUAAACAUUUAGAAGUCUCUUUCAGUUGUGAUUGAGCAUUGAAAGUCUCUUGCAAGUGUGUUUGAAUAUUUGGAAGUCUCUUGGUUGCGUCGUUUAGUAAUUGUAAUCUUGUGUGCUUAUAGUGAAAUCUCUUUAAAGUGCAAGGGGAUCAAACUACUCUUGAAUUGUAGGAGGAAUGAUUAUAAUUACUUUGUGUCUGCUCUUUAAUUUCUCUCUUUGACGGUGCAUAAACACUUAGAAAAACAACUAUUUUGAUAUUUUAAUCAUUAAGGUAAUUAUUAAGAAACUAUUAGAAUAAGAACACGAAAAAUAAAAAUAAAAUUUUAUAAAAGGAAAACACGAUUAAAGAGCCGAAGAGAGAAGUAUAUUAUUCUCCUUGGAUGUCAAGUUAUGUUACAUGUGAUCUCUAUUUAUAGAGAAAUACAAUGAUAUGACUUAAGAGUUAAGUACUUAGAGUACGUUUGGAUUAACAUAUUUUAGAGUUUACGUAAAUAAAUAAGCAUUAAAGUAUUAUUUUUUUAAAAAGAUAAAUUAGUCCACCUAAAUUGACACCGGAAAAAAUUGAACAUGAGAUCUUGACGAUGAGCACACUAUCAGAUCUCAGGCAAACCCAAGUGGGUAUAAGUUUGUUAAGGUAGUUUAUGAAAAAACAACCUAUGAAUAUACAAUUUUUGUUAGUAAAAUCUUAUGAAUUAGCAAAAAACUUAAUUAUUUACAUAGGCUCAAACCAAACAACCCCUUGCGAAAUAAGUACAUGUGAUCUAGAAGAUAAAUAAUAUAAUGUCAGUUAAGAGAUUUUUUCUUUGAAACAAAAGAUAAGUUGUUUUCGUGGUAUCCGAGGUUCAGACCUUGCAUAUAUUAUCUAGGGAUAAUAAUGCUUCACCCCACUAUAAUAUAGGUCAUUUCCGAUUUUCCCCUGUAAAAUAUUUUUUUUGAUUUAGCAGCUAUAAUUUUUUUGUUUGUUUUGGAAUACCCCUAAUAGGUCAUUCAAAAACCAACUUUUUUUUUUUGCAGUUAUUUUCGUUUUUGAAUGACCUAUUAGGGGUAUUUCAAAACAUAUUUUUUUUACACAAGAAUAAAUACAAAAAAAAAAAGACCUAUAUUACAGAGGUAAAACCAGAAAUGACCUAUAUUACGGGGUAAAACCUGAUUAACCCUAUUAUGUAUUGUGUAUAUCAACGUUUGAGGAGGAAUAAAAUGAAUAUUGCAAAUUUUAUUAUUAAUGUUUGACUCAUUACUCUCGUUGUAACGCUUAGCCCGUGCGGAACACAUAGCAAAGUGGGAAGUUAAGGAAGUGAUUGUUAUUAGGUUGUCUCAAGUCCCAACAUCCUCUUACUAUUCCACCCGCCUCCACCGCUCCCACGCCACGCCACGCCACGCCACGCCGCGCCGGUAAAUCUCUCUCUCUCUCUCUCUCUCAAUUCAACCAUGCCUAGAUCUUCUUAUUCUUCAUACUGUACUGUUUCUCUUCAACUACCCUAACAAUGGAUUAUUCAAUUUUUUGCAUUUUUUUUGUUUGUUCUUUAUAACUCAGUUUAUGAAAGACUGUGUUCGGCUCCUUUUUAGUCAUGCCCAUGUUUUUUUUUUUUUUUUGUAACUGAAACACAUAUUUAAGGAUACCCUUUUAAAAAGUUUUGUUUUUUUGUAUUGUUAAAGCCCUUUUGAUGUAGUUGCUUUUGGUGGGUUAAUUGUUUUUGUUUGUUAUUGUUUGAUUAAUAAACUCUGAGGAUGUUGGGUUUGAUAUGGUUAAUGAAUAUGUUAUUUUUAAUAAUGAUAGUGAGAUUAAAGUGAUUACAAUGAUUAGGUUUUAGAUGUUUCAUUAGUAGGAGAGAGAAAGAUCAUCUGGGUUGACCUAUAUGAAACACUGAUACGGACAUUAGACAUGACACCUUGACAUCGGUUAUAAUUAGAGAAAAUGUAAGUAUAUAAAUAUUAGAUAUAAUCACUUGUGUUAGUAUCGUGCCAGUGUCGGACACGGGGCACCCUUCAAUCUGAUGUGUCAGUGCUACGUAGGGUUGAUCCUACUGUAAUUACUGUGACUUAUGAGUAAUGAUGAAUUAAGGAGGUUUAUAUUAGUUAUGAUGAUAAAUUCCUAGUUAAACUUUUGUGUGUUCGUGUCAGUAUUGUAUGCAUUCUUUCCAUCUGUUUUUCUGGCUUUAUCAAUCUUUGCAACACUAUAUUUUUUCUAAGAUUGGUGCUUUCUUAUAUAGAUUCUUUUCUGUGCUGGUUACUAUUAUACUUUUAAUAUUUUUCUGUUUUAUUGUAGCUGGUUGAUUAUUGCGAAGAAAAAAUUGAGUCUGUUAUGUUCUGAAUUUCAUCACUAUAUACAAAAAACCUUCAACUGAAAUGGCAACUGACGAGCAUAACGUCGCAAAGGCUGAAGAAUUUAAAGUCCUUGCUAAUGAAGCAUUCAAAGGUAAUUAAUAAUCAAACAUUCAGACUGUUUUUUUAAUGAUACGAUGAUUCAUUUACUUGUUGUAACAUCACAAUUGUUUUUGUCGCAACUUAUAUUUUAGCUGAAUCAAUUUGAUGAGCAACACUUUCAUACUUAAUUGUUGGUUAUCACAUAAUUAGAGUAAAUAUCAUGUGAUUUAUUCUGAAAUUUGCGUCUUAUGUUUCCCCCUACGCAUUAUUGAUCAUGGUGAUGCUACAUAUAAGAAAGAGAGACUGAAUGGUUUUUGCAAUUACCUAAUGCUUUAACACUUUGAUUUACCAGCAUUUGCUGAUCCUGUGAACUCCUUUUUUCAGAACGGAAAUUUGCCCAUGCAAUUGAUCUAUAUACACAAGCAAUUGAGCUAAAUGGCCAAAAUGCAGUUUACCUUGCUAAUCGUGCCUUUGCCCAUCUUAGGCUCGAGGAAUAUGGUAGUGCAAUACUAGAUGCUACAAAGGCUAUCGAAGUAGAUCCGAAAUAUUCAAAGGUUCUCCAACUCCUAAAACUUUAGACACUUUCCUCUGUAUUUAGUUAUCUUUAUUAAUAAUAAUAUUUGUGUCAACCAAUUAUGCUUUGUUGUUUAUAGGGUUACUACAGGCGAGGUGCUGCUCAUCUUGGGCUGGGAAAAUUCAAGGAAGCAUUGAAAGAUUUUCAGCAGGUACUAUAUGUAAAUUAUAUAUGUCUGUUGUCUAAUAAGGUUGGAGUAACGAACAUGGCUUAAAAAUAACAUGUUUGUAUUAGUAUUGCAUUAUUGGAGAACAUUAAUAGAUCAAUAUUCAUUUACCUUUUAUUAGGCAUAUAGAUAAUAGCGAUAACAAACAGAAUAUCGGAGAAUGUGUAAAAUCAGUUUCUCUAAAGUUAAUCAUUUAGAAUAUUUUAUAAAACAUGAUUAAUUUUAGUAAUUUUGGAGAAACUAACAAUAAAUAGGUACCAUCAUUGAAUAUAUGCUCAAUAGUUUUUUCUGGUCUGAUAUCAGUCAGUCCAACAAAGGGGUUACAGCUGCCAUCAACGAAUGAAAAGAAAGAACAGAGAAAAUAUAGGUUUCAUACUAUAUUAUAAUAAAAUAAUAUCUGCUAGUAUAGAGCUCUUUGAGGAUUUGCUAUCUCAUCAGUCCAACAAAGGGGUUACAGCUACCAUCAACAAAUGAAAAGAAAGAACAGAGAAAAUAUAGGUUCCUCGCUAUAUUAUAAAUAAAAUAAUAUAGGUUACAUUCUAUCAUCAGGGGAUUCCUUCCUUCAGAUAUUAUAAUAAAAUAUAGGUUCCAAUCUGCUAGUAUUAGAGCUCUGAUCUUGUAGUGUGGGUAUUGUAUCUUGAAAAUGAUUAUAACGUUUAUUGGAAAGGAGGCGUAUUGGUGGCUUAUCAAUGAAAUUAAUAUUUCGAGGCCAUCAGAGAACUUGAGGAGAAGCAAUGAUAGGUUGCGAUGGCGCUGAGAGGGGGAGGUCUCAAAUGGUGGUUUUGUUGUGAAGAGAUCAAGCUAAAGUGCAUCAUGAUGGACAUUUGAGAAAGGCAUUGCUCAAACGGUUUUGACUGAAAUUUGAGGAAAUUUCUGUUAGGUUUAAAAACUGUCGUUAGGUUAGAGGAAAUUAUCAUCUGGAGCCCUUACGGUAAAUAGAAGCUACCACGUGAACCCUUUUUUUAACUCUAGAAAUGAAAGUUUAAAAAAAGAGGCAAAAUUGCACCACAGGUCCUUUAUCUUCAUUUUUUUCUUUCUAACAAUGUAGUCCUUUUUAAAUUGUGUCAAGUUAGUAUUUUAUGUUUAAAAACAUCAACGAUGUUGGAUCGAACCUCAUUUUUCAUCCAUGUAUGUUAUCAAAAGUCUUACUUAACCAUUCAAAGAGUUAAAUGACAUCAUCUAUCCUUAAAAAUAACAUCUAAAUUACAACAAAAUAUCAGUUGCAAUUCCUAGUCAUAAAAUGCAACUUGUUUAGAUUGUUGUCAACUCGUAGUAAAUCAUUUAAUGAUUGGUACUACUUGUUUAAAUUGAUGGAAUCUGAUAAUUUUUCAUGUUCAACAACCUUAUUUAAAUGUUCUCACAUGAAAGUCAUCUGCUCAUUGAAGCAGGCAGUUCUUUUACUUUGAAAGCAGGCAGUUCUUUUACUUUGACGUUCUCACAUGAAAGUCAUCUGCUCAUUGAAGCAGGCAGUUCUUUUACUUUGACGUUUAAAGUUGUCGCACAUUUUUGAUAUUUCUGUUUUAUUGGUACCUUAUUUGGAAAAUCUUUUAAGCCAAACUUUAAUUUAGGUUUUUACUUCAAAGUCAUCUGCUCGCUGAAGCAGCUAGUUAUUUGACUUUGACCUUUAAAGUUGUCACACAAUCUUGAUAUUUCUGAUUUAUUGGUACCUUAUUUGGAAUAUCAUUUAAGCCGCUCUAAUUUAGGUUUUUACUUCAAAUUAACUUUGACUACCUUGUUUUAUUUUUUUCUUUAGUAAUAUCUACUUGUUUCAAUCUGUAAACAUGUCUGAUAUGAUAUGCUUACACUUAUAUUGACCAGGUCAAGAAAAUGUGUCCAAAUGAUCCUGAUGCAACAAAGAAAUUGAAGGAAUGUGAAAAAGCUGUUAUGAAACUGAAAUUUGAAGAAGCUAUUUCUGUACCAGGAUCGGUGAAGCGUCCAAUAGCUGAAUCCAUAGAUUUCCGUUCAAUAGGUACUAUUUUGAAUAUGUUAUGCUAAUAUCUUCGUUUUAUCAUUUCUUCCUUUCUAAAUCUCCCUCGCAGUUUUUUGUUGUGUUUUAUUAUCUCAUGAUUCAGCCAUGCCAUGUUAUAACUUUUUGUAUGUUUUGGAUUCGUGCUUCAAUAUUGUAUACUUCAAACAACAUGCCAUAUUGGAGUAACUGUAGAUUUUUAACUGUUUGAAUUUUGAAAGUUUGGUACUAGGUUUAAAGUUAUGCAUAUCUUUUGACCUUGAGUUGAUGUUAUUUCAUAUAUUGAUGCAUGUUUUCAAGGAUCCUGAUAUCAUUGAUGUGAAAAAUGAAGUAAUGUUUAUUGUCAUUUUUCAAUAAUAAUUGUACUGCUGAUGUGAUUAAAUGAUUAUUUGACAUGUCAACUUCGUAAUAAAAUGUCAAACUUCAUCAUUGAUGUGACUUUUGGUUUUUGAUUAGAUUAUUUGACAUGUCUCCUCAUAUAAUUGUACUGCUGAUGCGAUUUCCUUCUUUGAUCACUAUUCAUUUUCACGGGAAAGAUUUGAUGGAGUAAUGUUAAUUAAUGUUUAGUUUCAAUUUAUAGUUUUAUUCGUUUGCAUGCCUUUUGGUGAAAUUUGAAUAGGCUAUGGAUAUAUAUUCUUUGAUUAAGUUGUAGUGAUGAUAGUGGUCUGAAUAAGAAUGAGAACAGGUUAAUGACCAUUUUACUAUGAACUUUGGAAUUUGUAACUUCUUAAGUUCUUGGCUGCGUAUGUAAAUCCUUGAAAUCACGUGUUUUCAAUCUUAGUCAGAAAGAUAUGAAAUGUGAGGUUGAUGGAGAAGGAAAGAAGGGCAAAGUGGAGGAAUAUGCUCUUAGCGUGAAAAUAAAUGAAUACCAAAACAUCAAGUUAUUGCAACCAUUCUAUGCUUAAACUUUAUUCUACAACCAAAGUAACCAUGACAUAGAAAACUUCUGUCAUCACGAACCUAUAAGUAAAUUAUUGAUUGAAUUAACUUGAUACUUGGUUGACCAAUAUGUGAACUAAAAUGGAAAACACUAACAAAUGAAUGAUUUUGUGUCUCCUUCAAAUGCGGACUUCAGCCUUGUGUUUCUUUCUCUUACCUUCCUUUUAAUUGGUUGCUUACAUUUUUGAAGGCAGAAAAUUUAAAAAAUAAAAUAAUUAUAAGGAUAUUUACCAGUAGUUUUGAGUCUUGUGUUUGAAGAACAUGCCUUACAAGUAUAAAAUCUGAAAAUCUGUAAAAAUGAUCACUUUACCCAUCUUUUUAUCACCGAUUUGUUGAUACAUAGGUUUUAUUUUUCCUCCAAGUCAAUAGUAGUCCCCUCAUGUUCCAUAACAUACCCUAAUCAUCCGUUAUUUUCCUCACAAACCUUUCCACAAGUACUAGAGUGUGUAGAGACAUUUUUAUGCUUGUUGGUUUUUAGAUGUUUGCAUACUUCACUAUAAAUUAUCACUCUUGUAUCAUUAUAGGAAAGCGCCGCAAUUCUUCGGUGCCAACCGAAGUUGCCAUAGCAGCAGUGACAGUAGCAGUUAUGGCAGUGGUGGUCAUGUUGGUCAGGACAUCAAAGACCACAAUAGUAGCUACAAUUGUGGUUGGUUUGCUGUUGGUCCUUGGGGCAUGGUGGAGUAGCUGCAAUACUGGUACAUUUAGGAGUCAUUUACAAGACCUAGGUAUAACCUUAUCAAACAAGACCUAAAACCAAUUAAUCAUAGGAUGGUUGAUCCUAAUUCGUUUGAGAUUUUUGAAACAAGUCAAGUGGAAUCAUUAUCAGUACUGCAUUAGGAAAUAAACCGUUUUCUAAUGCAACGCAUUUCCUUAUUUUGUUUUUUUUUUAGAUCAAGUUAAUCCCACUGCUCUGCCUAAGAAAUGAAAGGCCAUGUCACGUGUCUUAGAUAUUAGUUCAUUAGAAUGUGUUUAUUACCCUUGUUAGGCCUUCUGAAACUAAAUAGGAUGAUGCCUUUAGACAUUCUGUUGUGUUUCAAAUUUUAGCCUGUUUUCUAAAUUCUAAUAAUAAGGAUAAUGGAUGCUAUGUACUUUUCAGUUUACUUGUAGGAAUAUAUUUUAUCCAAAACUGAAAGAGGAAUUUAGAAAUAAAGAAAAUAUAUAUGUUGUGUGUAUUUCUUAUUAUUUUCAGAUGCUUGCAACUUUGUUUGAAUUUUUUUCUCGUGAUUUUUAAUUACUACCUGGAUUGGCAUCUAAAAAUAUGGCUGCCUAUUUGGAAGAUUGUUGCAUUUGUAAUUUUUAUAGAUGUAUUCGGAUUUAACAGGGAUUCAAAUUGUAAUUUAUCUGUUCUUUAACCCUUCUUUAGUAUUAAUGAUUUUGGGACCAAUAAACAUACCUGUUAAUUUUAUAUUGUCAAUGGUCCUUAAUAGUCUGAACCAUUUUUUGUCUAUUUUGUGUUCCCUUGUAGCAUUUGAUUUCACUCAUGGACAUGAAAAUAUUUUGGUUUUUUAUUUUGAUAAUAGAUGUCGAGCCACAGUAUUCAGGAGCAAGAAUAGAAGGGGAUACUAUUACUUUGGAUUUUGUAAAGAAAAUGAUGGAUGAUUUCAAGAAACAGAAGUGCUUGCAUAAACGGUACUGAACGAAGAAUUUUCUGUAUAACUGUUUGUACUUUCUUGAAGUGUUAUUGAAGUGUAUUUGCAUUUGUCCUGGUUCAUUGUUUUAGGUAUGCAUUCCAGAUUGUGUUGCAAACAAAAGAGAUGUUGCAAGCUUUACCUUCUCUUGUCGACAUAACUGUUCCUCAUGGAAAACAUUUUACUGUUUGUGGUGAUGUGCAUGGUCAGGUAAUUGGUUUAUUAUAUGGUAAAACAAAUUUUUGCUAAUAUCUUCAAGGUGGCUUUUUGUUACAUAAAUAUUUAGAGGAUAGAGUUGUUCUCAUGUCAUCUUUGAUUUUUCAAAACAUUCUUCAUAAAGUGAAUUUCUUUGACCAUUAUGUGGAGGGACUGGGGAGCUAUUUUUUGUUGAUGAGCUUGUUAGUUAAUAUUUUGUGUGCCUCAUUUGUACGAAGGAUUUAACUUUCGUGUUGAACUUAUAUUUUAAAUCCAUUUAUUAUUAUUAUUAUUAUUAUUAUUUCAAUCUUAUGAUAAAAAUGUAGUUUUAUUAGAAGUUUAAAAGAAAACAAGCACAGAAACAUGGGAAUGAAAUCCUACUUGUGGAGAACGGGUGAAAAUAAAGAAAAGCAAAAAAGAAACCGUCCUUUUAAUGUUUGACAAAGAAAUCUAUUAAAAAAACUGUAUCCCAUACAAAAGAUUGCUGCGAGAAUUUGUCCUAUGAAAUCAUGCAUCCAUGUUGCUCGGCUUUUGUGAUAUAUUUAUUUUCUUUAAUUAUCAACCCUUUCAAUUUUAUUUUUUAUGCUUCCUGCAGUUCUAUGAUCUUCUGAAUAUUUUUGAGCUCAACGGGCUGCCUUCGGAAGAAAAUCCAUAUCUAUUUAAUGGUGACUUUGUGGAUAGAGGAUCGUUUUCUUUGGAAGUCAUCCUCACUUUGUUUGCAUUUAAGUGCAUGUCUCCAUCAGGUAAACCCUAGCUCUUUCUUUAUUAGCCUGUUAGGUUUCAUUAUACUAUUUUUGAUGCAUCAUGGAUUCUUUAGUUAUUAUUAUUUCAUAAUCACCUGAUUAGAUGCUUUAUGUAUUACUUCAUUUUUUUUUCAAUUGAAUUGUAUAACCAAUAAUGUUUAUUGUGUGAUUUGAUUUUUCGCAACUAUUUUAUAUACUUUUUUCAAUUCACUCAGUUAGCUGGGAUGCUGUAACUUGUUUUGUUUCUAUAUUAUUUUCAGCUAUAUAUCUAGCUAGAGGAAAUCAUGAGAGCAAGAGCAUGAACAAGAUUUAUGGUUUUGAGGGCGAGGUGCGCUCAAAGUUGAAUGAAACAUUUGUAGAACUAUUUGCAGAAGUAUUCUGCUGUUUACCUUUGGCUCAUGUGAUAAACGAGAAAGUUUUCGUAGUCCAUGGGGGUCUUUUCAGUGUUGACGGGGUCAAACUCUCUGAAAUCCGAUCAAUUAAUCGGUUUUGUGAGCCUCCCGAGGAAGGUAUGGAUGCACCAUUUUUUUUUACUUCAAUUGAUCUCACAGUUAAAACAUUCUUGAAUUUCAUCAUAGUUGAUAGGAUCUAAUAUGUACACAUAGGCCCACUUAGAGGGAGAGUUAGUUACAUCAGAGAGAGAAAGUGGAGUUGGUUAUAUAAAGGAAUGAGAAUAGAGUGAGGGUUAUCUUUUGAUCAUUUGUUCAGUUAGAACCUUAGGGUUUGGGCAGAGAGAGAAAUGUCUCUUCUCUGAGGAGCUUUUGCUCUGGGUUACAGGGGUUAUCUUCUGUAAUACAUCAAUUUUCAACUCAAGAAUGCAGUUUAUUUCUCUGUGUGAAAUUGGGUCUCUAUCAAUUGGUCUGACCUGCCGGAUCAACUCUCACCACCACCGGCGAUUUGUAGAUGCAUUAGAGACUCAGAUGGAAACUGUGACAACCACACUGCUGCAAAGUCUUUGCUUCUCAGAUGCAACAACUCGCUCAACAGAUGCUUCAACAGAGCGUGAUUCUGACGGAAUUGAGCAAAAAGCUUGAUUCCAAGGGGGUGACUCAGGAGGGUGAAACCUCUAGUAGUGAUUCAGUUCAGAGUGAAAUUGAAGAAACAGAGAAGAAGACGUCAGGAGGGUGAAACCUCUAGUAGUGAUUCAGUUUAGAGUGAAAUUGAAGAAACAGAGAAGAAGACGGAAUUGAACUUGAAUCUAAGCUCAGCAACAAAGGUGAAGGAGGAAGUGUCGUUGACUGAGGCACUUGUUUCACGAAGGUUGAUCAAUUUGCAAUCAUCGCCGGAUAUCAUUCACGCAGAAUCGAUCACGGAGGAGAGACAAAGAAAACAAGAGAUUACAAUCGACAAAUCAUCGCCGCCGUCGCUGGAUGCAAGGCCACAGCUGUUGCCGAAACCGCCAGACGCAGCUUCAUCAACUAAUGAGGUGUCAUAUCCGCCUUCGCCGGAACCACCUCCGGACUCCGGUCAGCCCGUGACAACAGUCCCACGGCGUGCCCCACCGCCGAGACCACCAGAUCUACAGGAUUCCGUUGACGGAGUAGUCUAUGCGAUAUUGAGCUUCAAGAAGAGAGGGAAUGUACAAAAGAGACUGGGUGGACCGCCAUUAAUGUCGCCGGAACCACCGUUCACCGGUUGCAAUUCUGUUCACGAGUUUGUAAUCGUUGCUGAAGGUGAGAAGGUUCUAGAGAAGGCAGGGGCAAAAAGGGAAAUUGGUGAGUUGUGUAUCACUUUAAACCUAAUGGGCCACAUGCACAAAUCUCUGCCUCCAAUUUUUCACUUGUUACACGUGUCUUCAUCAGGUCAACAUUCAACCCCUCUUCUCUCUCAUGGGUCACUUAAUGCACAUUUCUUAUUUGUUAUGUGUCAUGCUGACACAAUGCAAUGUGAGUUGGGUCAAUUUUAUUACCAAAAGGGUCGGGCUCAAACUAAUAUUGGGUUACUAAAAAAUGAGUUUAGAUGGAUGGUUAUUAGUUAAUGUUUCAGCUGCUCAAAUUUGGAGUACAACAAAAACUAUGGCCACAGGUAAUGACAUGUAUCAACUCCCUGGGGUACACUGUCUAGUGUUUGAUCAUGCAAUUAGUGAAACCCCACACCACCGAAGGUCAACAUGGCAAGAGGUGAACACAAGUGAUUUUUCAAACCUUAUGAUCUUGUUCCCAAAACAAAAACAAAUUGAUGUUGAUAGGUCCAAAGCUGCAAAAUUGUUGUUUAAGCACAAACUGGCUGAUUCACUAGUUUACUCAUUGAUACUAGAGAAUUUUACUUGUCUUAGAAAUACCUUGGUGCCAAAUGAGUACAGUGAUAAUGUUGACCACUGGAGUAUAUGCAACUGUAAUUAAUGUUACUCACUUCUCAACUUUUGUUUUUGCUAAUGCGGCUAAUUCUUCUCUAGCAAAAAUAUUCUGGAGGUUAUAGCAUAGGUAAGAGUAGCAAGCUUACACAGUGGGUUAAAAGUCUGCUUGAUGGACCAAAUAAGUUUUUAUGUCCUUACUUGGUAAUAAGAUUAGCUAUGCUUACUUUAAUUCUUGUCAUGAAACACAAAGGGAAAGAUGGGAACCCCUUGACGAGUGAGAUUACACAACAAUGGAUACUUAUGAACAUUUUUAAAUACUUAAGGAUAAUGUUUGAUGCUGUUUUGGUUUUAAGUUUGGAAGUUCUCCCUAGUUUUUUAUCACCAUGUGAUGAUUCAUUGGUGCUGCCAAUUGGGGAAAAGAUGCAUGUGUACAUGGUGGGAUUUUAUGAUGAUGAGAGUGCUUUUAGGGAAACUACAUUGAUUGAGAAAGAUAGAAAAUAUGAGCAUGUUUCUCGGACACGAGCUUGUAUUCAGAUUGGAGCAAAAUUACAUGACCUUGUGUGGAAUGCAUUGUUGUGUGGGUAUGAAAUUAAAGUACACUCUGUACCUUCUUUCAACAUGAUAUUCUGGUGUUCAUCCUUUUUUAUGAGCCAACAAGACUCAAGAGAAUUCAGUAUUUCUAUGGUGGUUGAUGUUAAUGAAAUUUGUUGGAUAAUGUUCUUUACUUUGAAUGGAUUGCUCAACUUUGUAUUUGACAGAGGCAAGUUUUGGUGCAAAGGAAAGAUGUUGCAGCAAGGGAUGCAUAUUUCAGCCUUGAAGCUCUUAAAUAUUUCAGUGAUCACAUGCUCUUCCAUUCCACAUUAUCUCAGCGAUUAUUUGCUCUUCAUGCAUGAACUAGACUUUUCAUGGACUCCAUUGAGUUCAACAGUAGAAAGCAAGCAAUUGGGAAUUAUUUUUUCUCUGCCUUGAGGACAAGGCAGAUUUUAAGGGGGUGGUAUUGAUAGGAUCUAAUAUGUACACAUAGGCUCACUUAGAGGGAGAGUUAGUUACAUCAAAGAGAGAAAGUGGAGUUGGUUAUAUAAAGGAAUGAGAAUAGAGAGUGAGGUUUAUCUUUGAUCAUUUUUUUUUUUUAUAACCUUAGGGUUUGGGCAGAGAGAAAUGUCUCUUCUCUGAGGAGCUUUUGCUCUGGGUUACAGGGGUUAUCUUCUGUAAUACAUCAAUUUUCAACUCAAUAAUGCAGUUUAUUUCUUUGUGUGAAAUUGGGUCUCUAUCAAUAGUUUUGUUUAUGUAUAUAUGUUUGGUAUGUGUAGGUUUGAUGUGUGAGUUGCUAUGGAGUGAUCCACAACCUCUCCCUGGAAGAGGACCGAGCAAGCGUGGUGUAGGCCUUUCUUUUGGUGGGGAUGUUACCAAAAGGUUUUUGAAGGAUAAUAAUUUAGGUAUGUUUUCCAUUGGUCCGACACUUAAUUUCUUAUUUCAUCAGUGACUUCAUAUGAAUUAUCACUUUACAGAUUUAGUUGUGCGAUCUCAUGAAGUAAAGGACGAGGGUUAUGAGGUUGAUCAUGACGGUAAACUCAUAACUGUAUUUUCUGCUCCAAAUUACUGUGAUCAGGUAACCAUAUCCCUUCUGUUACAACCUUCUUUCUUGAAUAAUUUUAUGGUGACCGUGCCACACACUUCUUAUAUUAAUGUAUUUAAGCAAUCACUUAUCCUCCUAUGAAGGUAUCUAUAUGCUGAUUUUUCAUUGUUUUCUGUAGAUGGGUAACAAAGGUGCCUUUAUUCGAUUUGAAGCGCCUGAUUUGAAACCCAACAUUACUACAUUUGCAGCAGUGGUUAGUAUCUUUCUUGUUUUGAAGUAUGUCACGCUAUAUAAUGUAUUGUCGUUUUAAUAAAAAAUGAAAAGGGAAAAGAAUCAUGUUGUCAAAUAUCGGCCAUGGAAACACCAUGGCUAAUUGCAGUGGCAGAUAUUUCACAUCUGUCACAUGGCCAAUUUGUGAAUGAUGGUGGCACCAUGGUGUUCUAUGGCAGCUUAAAAUGUUGAAUUUUGGGCUUUUCGCCCUCGUUUGUCAUCUGUAAUCGAUAACACACUCUUCAUUUUAUGCAACAAUCAAUUCGUUGCAAUGUGAUUAUAGUAUACAUAUCUUUAUUCAAUUUGUGAGGUUACGUGGUGCUGACAUACUUUCUUAUUGGUUUGGUCCUCUUUGUUGAAUUUGCAGCCACACCCUGAUGUUAAGCCAAUGGCUUACGCAAACAACUUCCUCAGAAUGUUCUCAUAAUCAAUAUAUAAGCUGACUAGAAAUCUAGAACUGCCAAUGGUUGGUGCUGCUUUGAAAUGUCUAAGUUUUAUGCCCUAAGGGCAACAUUUUGGUUGGUGACUAGAGAAGAUUUGGUACAUGUUGAUCACUUUUGUUUUGUAUAAUAUUUUCGAUUUAACAUUUUAUUGAAAUUCAUUUUUCCCUCUCCAAAUGAUGCCACUUUCUUUUGUACUUUUUGUUUCUUUUGGUAAACAAAGUGUAAGGAAACUUGUAUCUCCAUUGGCUUCAUGAGACAAGAAGUGAUUAUGGUUUAGUUUUAAACUGGUUACAUGAAUGACAUAGGUUGAUUGAACCUUUUACUUAUCUUUGUUUCACGAAGUAUUGUUGAUUUGAUUUGAUUUUUUGGAUAGAUUUAUUUGAAUUCUAUACGUGGAAGAACAUGAACUGUCUCAUCAAGGGAUUUGAAUUAAUUAAUUUCAUUAUUAUUUUAUAAUAAAAUAAAAAGCCUAAUUUGAUAGGAAACAAUUUUCAUUUUUAAGUUAAGGGUAUAUUGUAACAAAAAAAAAAAAGUUAAGGGUAUCAUCAAUACUAUUGUUCUGGAUUUAACCAAAACUUUUUCUGCUCAAAUCCUCAAUAAAAAAUAGGGUUAAAUAUGUUUUUAGUCCCUAUAAAUAUACUAAUUUUUUAUUUUAGUCCCUCUAAAAUUUUCCUUCAACUUUUAGUCCUUUAAAAUUUUUUCAUCUUCACUUUUGGUCCCUCUUUUAAAGUAAACUCAUAUAUAGAAUUAAUAUUUUUUAAUGAAAUCUUCCAGAAAAAUUCAUAAUAUUAUAAGAAUCUCUUCAAAAAAAAUUUAGAAUAUUUUAACAAAACAUAAAUUUGAUAUGAAUUUUUAUAUUUUUGAAGGUUAAAAAUUCAUAUUUAAUUUGUGUUUUGCUAAAAAAUUCUAGUUUUUUUUGGGAAUUUUUUUUAUAAUAUUCUUAACAUUUCUGCAUAAUUUCAUUUAAAAAUACAAAAAUGAUAAAUUAUAGAUCAAAACCUACACUAAUUUUUACCAUUUAUCCCCUUUCUUACAUUUUUUUUUGACAUCUUUGUCCUUCUCAUUUUCAUCGCACAAUUGAACACACCUUUAACAAUUUCUACCUAAUUAAUCAAACUUAAGCCUUAUUAAGAUCCACCUAAACAACAUUUUGUCAAUAAAAGAGAUCUAUCUAAACAACUAUAAAUAUAAUAUAUAUGUUUUUUGUCUUAAAUUUUAACACAUUCAAUUUUGUUAAAUGAAAUUAAUUCGCAACUAAUUGAAUCAUGCAAGUUCCAUUUUUUUUAUCAAUACAAAUGUGUUGAGAAAUGAACAUAACAGACCACGCUAGUGUAUCAUUUUCUAAAAUAUUGUUUGACUUGAAUUUUUUCCAACCUAAACAUGACAACAAAGAAAACACGAAUGUUGUGUUUCUUUUCCAAUAUAUUACGACAUCUGAUUCUAUAUAUAAGAAAAAAAUUAGAUCAAGAAAAAUUAAUAUAUUUGAUCCAAAUUGACCUAAUUUUAUCUUAUAUAUAAAAUUAGAGGGAGUACUUUUCAUUCAAUAAAUUAUGUCCUUUAGAAGUACACUUGCAGAAACAUCUGUGAUUCGUUAUGCCUCAAAGUUGGAUUUAAGAGUUACUUUCCAACAAAUAAAACAAAAAUAUUGUUUCUCACUAGGAUGGAUAAAUUCAUUAAAACGGUUUUUCCUUGUCGAUGAGUAUAUCUGGAAACGGUUUUUAAGAAUCACAUGGGGAAGGGAAGCUCUCAGUUAGUGAAGUAAAUCACGAUAAUUGUUAUUUCUCGUAAUGGGAUGGAUAAAUUAAUUAAGUGUCUGUUUGGUUUCCCGUUUGUAACAGGCAAACACACGUCUGUCUGCUUUCUGAUACAUUUUUGCCAUGAUUUCCAUAAACUCCAAAUACUAACUUCUUCGCUAACGUGGUUUUUUGCCAUGAUUUCCAUCAUACUCCAUUUUACAAAGGAUGUACCAAACAUUCAUUAAAACAUAAUUUUUUUGUCAAUGAGUAUAUCUGUGAACGGUUUUUAAGAACCACAUGGUGGGAAAUAAAGCUCUUAGUUAGUGAAGUAAAUCACAAUAAUUGCUUAAUAUGUCCCUCAAAUUGCUCAAUUUCUAUAAUAAGCCGAUCAUGAAUUACUUUCCAAUCCGAAAAACGAACAAGUCGUAACUCUGAUAGAUUUUUCGCGAUCAAGAGUUACUCUAUAAUAAAUCCGAAGAACUUUUAAGCAACAAUCAUAGUAAAUCACGGGCUUACAUUGUUGUUGGGCUAUGAUACCAAGCCCAAACAAAUCUCACAUCUCAGAAAACCCAAAGCCUCUCUCUCAGUAGAGUUGGAUUCCAGAGAGAGAGAGAGAGAGAGAGAGAGAGAGAGAUACCCUUUAGCGUUGUUUCGUCUUGUGUGUGCUAAACCAACCAAACCCAAGCGACGCCGGUGGAAGUCGUAUUGUCUUCUCUUUCCAUUCCAUUCCACACUACAGUAACUCUCUCUCUCUCUCCCUCUCUCUCUCUCUUAAAUUUUCAUUCAUUCUCUUUUUAUUUAUUCUUUUAUUCAAAAUACAAUGCAAUUUCAAACUCAAUAAAACCAUGCAGAGAUCUCUAUUACUUUCUUUCUCUCAGUGGGAACCAAUUGCUUCACUUCUUUGAUUUUUUUUGAUGAUGCCCAUUUAGACCCUUUUGUUUAAUUUGAUUAAAGUUUGAAUCUUUUUUUAAUGGGGUUGAUUUUUUCUUGUAUGUUUCACUAUAUGCUAUAUGUUUUUGGUGUUUUGAGGCAAUUCUGGUUAAUGUGUUUUUUUACCAUUUUGAUGAAAAAUUGUUAUGAUGAUUGUUGAAGUAUUGUGUGAGUAAAAUGAGAAGGGUUGUUAUGUUGAGUUGGUGAGCUUGUGCUUUGAGGGAGAGUACAUACCUAUGUAGCAGUUGAUCGAAGCCGUGACGCGACACUUACACAUGUGAUUAAAUUCAAUUAUGUCAUUUUCUCAAAUUACUAUCAGUGUCGACAUGUUAGUGUCGUGUCCGUGUUUGCUUUGGUGUUUCAUAGGGACAUACACUGUUUUGAGUGUGUUUGGAUGUGCCUUAUAUUUUUGCCAUUUGUGGAAGUUAAGGUUUAGGGAUUUAUUGUAAGGUUUGGUUUUGAAGAUUGAAAUGAGAUAGAAAUUGAAAAUAUUGGAAUUUUGGAUUAACAGUUAGGUGAUGUAAGGGUGUAAGAUUUUGUUUUGAAGUUGAUGGUUCAUGUUUAGUUCAAUUCAAGGAUGGAACAUAUAGAUGGGAUUUACGAAAACUGGUUUUUGAUAUCUAAAUGAGCUUUCGAUAUUGCACUACAGUGGCACAGCUGUUUGCUGACUCUGCCGCGUAAUGCUCCAGGAAAAAAACCUGUUUUAUUGUUUUUUUUUUUGUUUUUUAGUUUAGAUUAAUGUUUAGUGACUUAAGGUUUAGGUGGUAGACAAAAUCACUAUUCCGUAUGUAGAAUCAGACGUUUCUACGAUCUCACAACCCCUAGUUGUGUUUGUCUAUGCCACAUAAAUUAUUUGAAAUGGAUGAGAUCCCCGCGCAAAGACGCGGGAAUGGCGGAAUCAUGCGAUUCUGCGUUUCUCAUAAUUCCGGGUUCGCGAUCCGGUUACUUAAAACGUUCAAAACCCUAAAAAAACACGUGUUUUAUUUUACUGUGACGUGCAACAGUUAAUUUCACACUCGUAACCUCCCAUUAAGCCUAUUAAUUUGUUGAAACCUUCCCGAUAUACUCACUUAUAUCUCACCAUCUAACCCUUAAAAUCUUCUGUUUUUAUUUUAUCUUUUUUUUGAUAAAAUGAUUUACUGUUUUUCUUUUCACUAUUGUUCUGCCUUCCAUCGUGUGCAACCGUUCGUUCAUAACAACCCCCUAUUGACUAAUUCGUAGUUUUUUUUUUUUAAUAAAUUUUUUUGACUUGUGUUCUAUGUUAUGAAUUUUGUUGUCCUAAAUUUGAGUUUCUUUAAGUAGUUUGGGUGUUAUUUGAUUUAUUUUAUUUUACUAAAUUAUAUUUUUUCAUUUGCAUAAUUAUGAAUUUAUAUGCAAUAUAUGAGUUUUUGAAAUUGGUGGGAUCUUACGAUCUAUUUAUGAUCCCCCGAUUCACGAGCCUGUGACCCCUCCCUGUUCUUGCGUAGGAUCUAGACUCGGACUACCUUAGUUUAAACUUGGUUGUUUUCUUGACUUAUUUUUGGUGUUUACUUCUAUGUUUUGUUUAAGACCUAUUGAUCAAUAUUUCACGAAUUGAGUUUGAAAGAAUGGAGAAUAUAGAGGUCAUCAUGGUAUGGGCUAUCUUACUAGUAUUUUUGAGAUUAGCGAUUAUGUUUUGUCAUCCGAGAUUGUUAACUGUGCUUGUGUUCCUCUCCCUGUGUAAGAAUGGUUCCUUCUGUGGUUUAAGUAAAAGUAAAAUGCGUUGAACUUGUUUAACUUCUGGUAUAGAAAGUUUAGAUGUUUCUCAUGGAUUUAGUUUUAUGAAGGGACCCCCAUGAAAUUGCCUUGUAACCAAUAAAAGGCGAUAAAUAGGGUAACUGCUAAAAGCAAGUGCGAGGUGUAGGUUAAGAGGAAGUGAGACUUAAUCAUAUGUUACUGCAUUAAUUCCUCAGAUAUAGCUCAUAUUUGUCACAUGUAAUAUAAAAAAAAGAAUUAUUAUCCCUUUUAGUGCACCGGGAUGCCCUUCCCGGACCGUGUGAAUGCGGAAUCUUUAGUGCACCGGGCUGCCCUUUUUUUUAUUAUCCCUGUUAGUAUUUGCUGUUUAAGGUAAUAUUAAUAUUCUCUCUGUUUCAUCCAAUGUAAACCAAGAGAGAAAAAGUUUGUUAGAUAACAAGAAAACAAUUAAGUACAAUCUUGUAAAUCUAAAGGAAAAGAGAGAAAAAAAAAAAAAAAUUCCUUUUUGAAGUAUGUUCUAUCAUUUCAUAUUACUCUCCUUACCAGCAAAGCAGCCUACAGUCUGGUAUGGCGACAUAUAACAUUUUAGUGUGGUUUAUUUAUUAUGUAAAUUUCCAGCAUGAUUAUGAUACGUUCAUAUACCAAUGUAUCAAUCGUACACAAUAACCAUAUAGUUUUGUUCUGCAUCUAGAUUUGCUUCCAGGGGAAAAAAUAUUGUCCACCCCUAUAUUAUUAGGUUUUAAUAUCAUUAAUGUUUUUCAAAUUCAUAAAAUAUUAAUUAAAAUUCUUAUAUGGAUUUCUAUUGUGAAGUUAAGACUCCGGUUUCGCAUUUCUGCAAUACGUAUCUUGAACAUAAAAAAAUCUCUUAACAAUUGAAUAGACAACUUUGUAUCAGAAAUUUCAUCUGUCCUAAAGUGGUUUGCUCACAAUAGAUCUUCCUGUAUUACUAAUUUAUGUGCUUUUCAUAAGGUCGGUUUAGGAAGUAGAACAUUGUUGAAGGGUCUUGGGGAAGGGGAUUGAGAAUAGAUAUGAUGUGGUGUGUUUUUCAUUACAUAUGGUGGGGUUUAUACCACUUGUGCACCAUAGCAUUAGCCUGUUUUAGGUAUUUCCUUCUUAUAUAGUGGAAUAAAUGUCGAUUUAAUGUCUACUUGCUUUAAGCCUCUAGAUGCUUACACUUGUUUGUUGUUGGCUUUUUUUGGGUAUUUACUUAUAUGUCUUGGGUAUUAAUUAUUUAAUAUGUAUUAAAAAAUUCAGAACAGCUGUCAUCCUGGAUUUUGGUCUCAGCCGCUACGCAUCGCUAUCCGGGGAUUAAAACUACACACCGUUCAUCAAUAUUGCUUAAAAUGUGAGUGAACAUCUGCAUAUUGCUUACUUUACAGCUAUUUUGUCGUUUGCUUAAACAAAUAUUAGAUGCAACUCAUACAAGUUUGUAUGUCUGGCCAGAGGUCUACAACCACCUGUUGCUUGUCGUUUACCAUUUUCUGACUUUUCCCUAUAAGAUGCUCUUAUUUUGAUUGCUAGCUAUUAAUGUCAAUACCAACAUGCAUUAGACAUGUUCAACCAAAUGCUAUAAAGUUUGAUGAUUAUAUAUCUCUUUCAUGUUUAUUAUUCAAUAUUGUGUUUCCUUAUAUUUUCUACUGCCGCAAUUUUCCCUCAGAAUGAAGCACGAGUAGAUGGCAGUCAAAGUUGAGGAUUGUCAAUUACUUCCUUUUGAUUACAGGAAGGAUCCAUCACUAAAAUCUGCUGAAUAAAUCGAUCAACUUCCCUGGUAAAGAAGUUUCUUCUUAAACUUUAUAUAGAUUAGUUGUCAAGACAUGUGAGCAGUAGAAAAUAAUAAAAAUUGAUCAUGAUUUCUUUCCUUCAUAUUAAAAGAUACAUAGUUCUGACAAAUUGUAGUUUUGGAAAUCCUUUAAUUUAUUCUAAUUCUACAAGUAAUUUGUUUGCUCCAUAGGUUUCAACAUAUGAUUAGUAAUUAAGACUUUGGGGCUUUUUUCCUUUUGAUGUAUUGGCAAUUUUUUUUUUUCCUUCUUGUACAUUGGGGCUUUUAAGGGUUUCUGAUAUCCUUGUACAUUGCAUCCUCCCGUUCUUGAUAAAUUUCUUUUACAAAACAAAACAAGAAAAACAAAAAAAAGGGAGGAUGCAAAUGAAAAUCCUUGUCCAUUCCAUUGUUCUUUUAGGAAACAGAUCAAUGUUUUCAUUUUCAUCUCUUAAAUGAAAACAUUUGCAUCAUUCCUCUCUAACGCUAGAUCUGUUUUCCAUUGAAUCACCCCGCAUCUCCUGUUUUCAUUUUCACAUCAACUAAUUCACAUCAGAGAAUAUAGCUCAACUAUCUGUCUCACCAUUCUUUUACGAUUAUUGGAAACAGAUCUAGCAGUUCAGGAGAUUUUGAAAAUGCCAAAACAUUGUUUCGGACAAUGCAUUCUUCCUAGCUUCGCCUUCCAUCUUUUCUCUAUCACAAUUAUUCAUUACAUGAGUUCUCCAUCUUUAAUUAUCUUUAAUACACAACUUUGGCCAUUAACAUCUUUAAUUAUCUAUAAUAAAAAAUUGAUAUUUUGAAAAUAUUCAUUGAAACAAAUACAACAUCUUAGAUCCUAACAUUUGUAUCUAUCUAUUAGUUAAAAAAUAUGGUUUAAGUAAGUUAUGUGAAUAGUGCAUAUUGUCACACUACGACACGUAUUUUGGAAUGGAGGGAGUAUAACUAACCCUUAAUUUUCUUUAUGUAUUUUAGUUGUCAGUAAUGGAAGUGGGAGCAGCGGAUCCUUAUACAACAAAUCCAGGUCCAAUUGAUGGUUCAGUUCUAUAUGAUCAAGACAAGCAUGUUUCAACUGCAGUUUGGGAAGGACAGGUAGAUUUCGCUAAUAGCCAAUACCUUCCGUUUCACUAUUUAUUUUAUUUUCUUGUGUAAAUUCUUGUCAUAGCCUGACUGUUAUAUAACUGUUCUCUCGUUGAUACAUUAUGUUAGCAGGAGCGCGGAGCCCUCAGAUGUCAUGAACACACUUCAAAACUUGAUCAGUGGACACUUACACCUAAACAGAUUGAAUUGGUAGAGAAAGCUGGAUUCAGAUACUUACGGUCUAUUCCAGCUAUUAGUCUAGAUAAUCCACUUAUCUCUGCUCUAGUUGAACGAUGGAGACGAGAAACAAACACUUUUCACUUGAAUGUCGGUGAAAUGACGGUAACCCUCAAAGAUGUCGCACUAUUGAUUGGGCUCGCAAUUGAUGGGGAACCUGUUAUAGGUCUUACGCAUACCUCAUGCAGUUCCGUUUGUGAAAAGUAUCUCGGAAGAGCACCAGAAUCGGGUUACACAAGUGGCGGGAUGGUGAAGCUAAGUUGGUUGAAAGAGUUCUUUUCUCGAUGUCCCAAUGAUGCUCCAAUCGAAGUGAUAGAGCAACAUACUCGUGCUUAUCUUCUUUAUCUUGUAGGUAGCACCAUAUUCUCGACCACUACAGGAAAUAAGGUCCCUGUAAUGUAUUUGCCGUUAUUUGAGAAUUUUGUUAGAUGCGGGCAAUAUGCCUGGGGAGCAGCAGCAUUGUCAUUCUUGUACAGAGCACUAGGCAAUGCAUCACUAAAAACUCAAAGCACCAUCAGUGGAUGUUUAACACUACUGCAGGUUUUUGUCCUCUUCUUUUUAACCCUUCAACCUUUUAUCAUUUUCUUUCAAACUAUAGUUUUUCUUUCUUUAAAUACUGAUUAUUCUGUGUGGCACUGACACUUGUCGAACUUCGAAGAAUGAAACCGGCCACAGUUACUUUCAAUUUCUUACAUUUUCUCAAAUAUACUUAUCUCAAUGUGUCAAUGUUAUGUCUGGCAUCUAUGUAUGUGUCAUUGCUUCAUAGAGUUUAACAGAUUAUUAUGCAUUUGCAGUGUUGGAGUUACUUUCACCUAAAUGUGGGACGGCCAAAGCUUAAUCUCGAAAUGAUGCAUGAUCGAUUUCCCUUUGUGCUUAGAUGGAAAGGAAAACAAAGUGGGCCAACUGCAAAUCGUGAUGUAGUUUUUUAUCGGAAGGCUUUGGAUUCUCUAAAACCAUGCGAUGUAAGUCUUAUUGUCAUUUGUAUUCUUAAUGUUAGUGUGAUAAUGUUCUAUAUAUCAUUUUAAGAUAUAGAAUCUCACUAGUUAGAUCUACAGGUAGAAUGGCUCCCCUACCGAAACAUGGACAGUAUGGUGAUUCCAGAUCAUAUCAAAAGCACUUUAAUUCUUGGGAGGUCAAAGACAAUGCUAAUAUGCUUUGACAAGGCAGAAAGACAUCUUCCGGAUCGAUGCUUAAGGCAAUAUGGCAUGCUUCAAUCAAUUCCGGAUGAUGUGGAGCGAUGGGAGAGGAAGAGUAGAGGAGUUGAUGGCGGGGUUGAUUUGUCCGGGAAAAUGGAAUCAGAACUUACUGAAUGGAUGGACCGUCAGCUGCACAUUGUUGAUGGAGAUGAAGGUGUUGAUGAAAGCGAGUACAUGGAUUGGUAUAUGAGAAUUACCCGCAAGUUCAUAGGGAGGCCUAUUUCUCUGUCAUCCGAGUUUCAGAGAACGGUAAGGAUAUGUUUCAGGAGUUUUAGUUUUAUAUAUCUUGUAGCAAUGAUAGAUGAAGUUUGAAAUGCUUUUAAUAGAAAAUAAACAAAUGCUUGCAGAAUGCUGGUCUGAGAGAUAUUGCACACAUAGCAGACACCUUUUCAACAAAAGGGUUAGAUCCACAACAAAUCGAAUCAAUAUCUCGGAUACGAUAUAUUGCCCAUGAAUGUUUGAGAGACCAAUUCAGUGGUCCAAGGAUAGUAACAUCAACCCCGCAAGCUGAACAUGGAAAAAGGGUAAGGGGAAAAGAGAGGAUUAGAAGAAAAGGUGGUGCGGGUAAACGAUUGCGGAAGGAUGGCGCGGUUCAAUAUAAUGUCGUUAGUGACGAUGAACAACCUGAAUUCUAUGGCACUGCUAUUGAUGUUGGCCAAUUGCAUCUAAGUCAUAUGGAUAGAGAGAUGGACAAUCAUGCACAAUUAUGUACCGUAGAAAGUGCAGUUAGUUCUGUCCAUAUGAUUCAUGCAGAUGCCAAUGCUGAGAAUAUGCACCUUUGCGAUGCACACCUCAGUGUUGAUCAAUCAGAUCUUGUUUAUGAAGAUGAUGAAAACGAUGAUGAUUUAGCUGCCGAGUUUAACCAUGAUGAUCUAAAGCAAGAAGCUGAUGAGGAAAUAAAGGAAGAGCUUAACCAUAUGACUGGUGAGGAAAAUAUUGAUGAGCUACAUGCAGCUACUGAGAUUCAUCAAGAUCUACGGCCGUGUGAUCAUAUAAUGAUAGAUGACUCACAGUUUUGUGAUGUAAGUCACGAUAUCAACAACACAACACUUUCAGAUGACGCCGAUGACAUCAAUCACACACAUUUCGGUGACCCCGAUGAGGUCGAUCCACUAGAAAUCAAUCCAACAGAAGAUUUUGUUAAUGCUCAACUUUCUCAUGUUAAUGAUAUAAGUGAACCACCAACAUCUGAUAUGGCAGAAAUGGAAGUAUCUCAACAUUCUUCCAUUGAAACUCAUGGGGAUAUUUCACAGAAAGGUGAUUGUAGUGUUGCUGUAUAGAGUGCAUACCUUACAUACAUUAUUUGUAGAGAAGCAAAAUGCAAAUUUUUUUAGGCAGACUUAAUUUUAUGAGAGGUGAUCAUGCCCUGUAUAAUUAUUUAUAUUCAUUUUUUGAUGUGUCGCUUGCAUUUUCCUUACAUUAGUGUGUAGUGGAUGAUUUAGAAACAAUCAUUGCAUAUAUUAAAAUUGAAAUUGUAUAUUGAAAUAUUAAUAUGUGUAAUGCUUGUUACUGAUGAUGUAUCGAUGGUUCAUGUCGAACACGGUGUAUGUUUCUGUUUUUGCGAUGAGUUGUCUUAUCGUAUCACAUUUAGUGUGUUUGGAAACGGACGUUUCCACGGUCCUAACACAACGGUCCUAACACAACGUAGGUGGACUCUUAUCUUUACAAAUCUCUAUAAAUCGCAACAUUUUUUAAAAUUUGAUUCAACAAUUUAUUAUGUAUCUCCUAUCAUGUUGUUUUUAACACAGAUCAUGCUAACUUAUAAAAUAUUAUAUUUAACUAUGAUAUAAUUAUGUUUCAUUUAUAGGGUUGCUUAAAACUUAGCCCUGGCCUGACAAGAGGUCAUGAAAACUAAAGUUGGGGUCAAAGGUCCCAACAUUUUUCACAAUUUUUUUUAGGGAAAAUACUUUUUUCAAUUAGAAGUUUUCAUAAAUUUUUUUUUGACCAAAUAACCACUUUCGUUCCUGACUCUGCACCUUGCUGUCACAUAGGUCCCUGACUCAGGAUUAAAUACAAAUAAUUUUUUUUUGAGCAAAUAGUCACUUUAGUUCCUGACUCUGUCAGGAACAAAGUGAUUAUUUGCUCUUUUUUUUCCUUUCUUUUUUCUGGAAUAAAAAAGUUUUCAUAAUUUUUUUUAUUUUCCUUUUUCUGGAAUAAAAAAAGUGACUAAAAACCCUUUAUCUAUGCCCACUAAAAAUGAUAAUUACAAAAUGUAACCAAGAUUAAAAAUGAUAAUUGACAGUUCAAGAUAUAACAUGUGUAUUCUAUCAUGUCUCUUUUCAUUGGCACUAAAUGGGUUCAAAUGUUGAUCAUGAUUUUCUCAUUAAAACCAAAAUGGACGAAAAAAUAUAUCUUGAUAAUUUGUUUUGGACAGCUCUUUAAAUAUUUCAAAAGAAAAUAUUUAAGUUUUCCAAAUCAAUUUUCAAAGCCUUCUUGUUUGGAUAUUUCCCAUUUUUUUCUUGCUUUUUUCUUGAUUUCCAAAUCAAUAAAUUAUGGCAACUUCAAGACAAUUGUAAAAUAUGAGGUUCAUAGAAAUUUCAUUUCUUUUAUAAAACUCAAAUUUUUUUAAUAAAUUUUAAAGGAUCAUUGAUAAAUAUUAAUAGAGGUUUCAUUUAUAUGCAUAUCUCUAUACUAUAUGAAAAUUUUUAAAUAGACCAAUAAACUUAAACAUGUGUAAUCAUAUUCUUAACACAUGUUAUAACCAUUUUUUUUUUUGUCAAAAAAAAAAACCACUUUUUUUUCUUUACAUCAAAGGAUGAUUAGCUCAGGGACGUUGGUAUAUAAUAAUAAGCAUGUCAUUUCAGUGUUGACAAAAAUCAGUAGAGGUGUCCCAAUGAAAUUAUUAAAUAAGCACCAAUUUUCUUGUAUAUUAUUUAAUAAGCACCAAUUUUCUCCAACCCAACACCUCAAAAGAAAUUAUUAAAUAAGUCCCACAAAUAAUUUUAUAUCAUUAUAAUUCAACAAAAUUUAUUUAAUUUAUUAAGAUUUAUUAAAUAGGACCAACAAAAAAUGAAGAGAGAAAGGGUUCUUCCAUAGCUACCCUUCUCCAUAGAUAUCCAUAUACUUUACUCCACAAUAGAGGUGUCUAUUUAACGUGGUGCUAAAUAGGUUAAGCAUCCGCCAUUGUGGAUGGGUCUAACGCUAUUUUUGAGCCUCCAAACAUAAUUACAAAAUAUAGUUGUUUGCAAAUUGAUAGAUAUUCGAUAUCAAUGAGAUGUAGAAACUAUUGGCAUUACAUAAAUAGCAAUGUUAGAAACAAAUUGAUAGAUAUUAGAUAGCAUUGAAAUGUAGAAAUAAAUUGAUCAUUUACGGCAGUCAAUGUACCAUUUGUUGGCAAUACAAAACUGCAAAUAUCAUGCUCUCAAAAAAAAAAACGGCAAAUAUCAUGUCAUUAAAAAAUGUUAUAAUAAUGGUAAAGUUAACAUGUGAUGUAACUUUGUUUUUUCUUUCUUUCUUUGGGAACAAAUUUCAUGUCAGCUUUAUUAUAUGUUGCUUAUAGUCUAGCACAAUCAUAUUUACUUCAAAUUCAUACCAUAUUCAAUUUGUAUUAACUAAGAUCAGACUUAAGUGGUUAAUGAUUUCUCUUUAAAACGAAUCCUUCAAGAAAACCAAAUUUAAAGUCAGGGUACCUUGUGUCCAUUUUCUCUAUAAAUCUGAGGGUUAACAACAUAAUAAAAUUUAAUUUGUAUUACUUUGUUAAUUUUAAAUGACAAAUUUGAAAUUUAAUUUUGCCAAAUCUGUGCGGUAUUCAUAGCAAUUUCCUUUGUCAUUAUCAAAACAGGUUCAAAUGAUGACAGAGCAAUUCUAUAAUAUUAUCUUCCCUGCCUAUUCAAAGUCUUAUAAUUUUGGAGCGAUUUCAUUUUUUCUAACAAUCAGACCUCAUUUUCUUAGCAACCUUUUUCCAAUUUUCUUAUAUAAGCACAUUAAAAUCUCAUAACAAAUCAUAAUCCCAUUUGAAUUAGAUAUUCUUCUUUGAUUCAAACAAUUAUUCAUGAUGACCAUUCUUACUACACAAAUUUCACUUCUUUUGCUUACACUUUUAUCUAUAACUACAUUCCACAAAACCAUGUGUAGCAAUCACACAGUUGUUCGCUGCAAUGAGAAAGAUCGAGAGACAUUGUUAACGUUCAGACAGGGCAUCCAUGAUAGUCUUGGUCGGAUAUCAACGUGGUCAACUGAAAAAGAUUGUUGCGUAUGGGAAGGAGUCCGCUGCGACAACAUUACCGGAAGAGUUACAGAACUUGAUCUCAAACCUCGUUUUGAAGAUGAGUCAAUCAGAUUUUUGAAAGGUGAGAUGAAUCUUUGUAUUCUAGAACUUGAGUUUCUCAGUUACUUGGAUUUGAGUCUGAAUGUAUUUGACGUGAUAAUAAUUCCAUCCAUUCCACACAACAUCACACAUUCAUCUAAACUUGUAUACCUUGACUUAUCCCUCCUCAACAAAUUUGUCGAUUUAGAAAAAAAGAAAACUCUGCACAUGGAUAGUCUUCAUUGGCUUUCUUCACUUUCUUCCUUAAAAUAUCUCAACCUUAGUAACAUUGAUCUUCCUAAGGAAACCAAUUUGUUUCAAAUAGUGAAUUCACUUCCUUCACUAUUAGAAUUACAGUUGAGUGAUUGUAAAUUGAACAACUUCCCAUUUGAUGAGUAUUUGAAUUUGUCUUCAAUUGUAACUCUUGAUCUUUCUAGAAACAACUUUACCUCUCAUUUACUUGAUGGGUUUUUUAAUCUUUCCAAAGAUCUCAAGUAUCUCGACCUUUCUUGGAACAAUAUAUAUGGUGAGAUACCUUCAAGCUUGCUAAACCUUCAAAAUUUGAGACACCUUGAUCUCUCUUAUAACCAACUACAAGGAUCAGUUCCAGAAGAAAUAGGCCAACUUUCCCAUAUUCAACAACUUGAUCUCUCUGAAAACCAACUACAAGGAUCUAUUCCUUCAACUCUAGGAAACCUCUCUUCCUUAAAUUACUUAUUUAUUGGCUCUAAUAAUUUCUCUGGUGAAAUUUCAAAAUUAACUUUUUCCAAACUCUAUACUUUAGGUUUGCUAGACAUGAGUUAUUCAAAUAUUGUAUUCCAAUUUGAUUUGGAUUGGAUUCCUCCUUUUCAACUCUUUCACCUUUCAUUGGGAAAUACAAAUCAAGGCCCAAACUUUCCAUCUUGGAUAUAUACACAAAAGUCAUUGCAAGUUCUCGAGUUAUCAAACUCGGGAAUUUCAUUGGUAGAUAGACAUAAGUUCUCGAACCUUAUAGAAAGAGUAGCCAAUUCUCUUAUUUUGUCAAACAAUUCGAUUGCUGAAGACAUAUCCAACCUAACACUAAAUUGUUUGUUCUUAUGGUUGGAUAACAAUAAUUUCGCAAGAGGACUCCCAAACUUAUCACCAAUGGCCUGGGUAGUUGAUUUGUCUUACAACUCCUUCUCAGGAUCAAUUCCACAUAGUUGGAAGAACUUGAAAGAACUAUCACUCCUGAACCUAUGGAGUAAUAGGCUGUCUGGUGAAGUUCAAGAGCAUCUCUCUGAUUGGAAACAAUUGAGAGUCAUAAAUUUGGGAGAAAAUGAAUUUUCUGGAAGCAUACCAACAGGGAUGUCACAAAACUUACAACUGAUCAUAUUGAGAGCCAAUCAAUUUGAAGGGACUAUUCCACAACAACUAUUCAAUCUCUCUUAUUUGAUUUACUUAGACCUUGCACAUAACAAACUUUCAGGAUCUAUACCGGAUUGUGUCUAUAACUUGACUGAAAUGGUUACAUUUUCUGAGGGGGUAUUACCAGCAGAUAUCACAAUUGAGUUGUUUACAAAAGGUCAAGAUUAUAUCUAUCAAAUCCGUGGAGAUACACGUACUAUUGACCUUUCAGCCAAUCACUUGACUGGAGAAGUGCCAUUGGAAUUGUUUCGGCUUGUUCAAGUUCAAACAUUAAACUUAUCUCACAAUAGUUUCAUUGGAACAAUUCAGAAGACGAUUGGAGGCAUGAUAAAUAUGGAAUCUCUCGAUCUCUCUAAUAAUAAGUUUUAUGGUGAAAUUCCUCGGAGCAUGUCUGUCUUAACCUUUUUGGGUUAUUUGAAUUUAUCUUACAACAGUUUUGAAGGAAAAAUCCCAACUGGAACACAACUUCAAAGUUUUAAUGCAUCGAGUUACAUUGGGAAUCCUAAACUGUGCGGAGCUCCUCUCAAUAAUUGUACCAUGAAAGAAGAAAAUCCUAAAACUGCAAUGCCAUCAACAGAUAAUGAAGAUGACGACUCUUUAAGAGAAUCAUUGUAUCUAGGGAUGAGAGUUGGAUUUGCAGCAGGUUUCUGGGGGAUUUGUGGUUCUUUGUUUCUUAUUAGAAAAUGGAGGCAUGCUUACUUUCGGUUUGUUUAUAGAGUGGGUGACAAGAUCUAUGUUACUUUGAUCGUAAAGUUGAACAUGUUUAAAAGAAAUUGAGCUCCUGCUAUAGUUAAGGUUAGUGGAACCUACUUCAUAGUUUUAUUAAUCUGACUAUAGAGUAUUUGUUUUAUUUUGUAAUUCUAUGCAAAACUUAUACCAUUUCAUUUGUUUGAAUCUUUACCAGGUGAUUAUUAAUGUGGAAGAUUCUGCAUUUUUAUGCAAAUCGUGGAAGAUUACGAGUUGUAUGAGAUGAGAUUAUACAUGACUGUACAGUUGUUGCUGCUCAUUUCAUCUUUCACUUUUUGUAAUGUUUUUGUUCAUUGAAAAACCAUUUAUACAAGUCAUAGAAUGAAUGCAAUCAUGUCGUCAAUUGUUCUUCGUAUCUCUCAAUUAUUAUUGUACCGAAUGUAGUGAUUUUAGACAAUCUUAUAGAUAGUUUUGUGGAGAAAGUAGAUUACUUCUUUCUAUUAUCUCUAUAUUUGUCAAUUAUAUAAAAAUUUGCAAUGAAAAUACCAAAGUAUUACAAAGGAUGAAAGAUUUCAUACUAUACAGACUAAGUCAUACAAAACAGUAUUAGUGUUUGGAUGUUUCUCUCUAUUUCUUACUAACUUCUUUCAUACUCCAUUAUUUGUACAUACAUACUCAAUGCCUUAUGAUCAAACACAUUGCAAUGAGAAAGAUUUAUUGAAAAAUUACCAACACAUAUAAGAACUUAGAAUAGUAACAUCAGCAAACUUGGUACUCACAACAAUCGCAUAUAAAGAACAAAGUCUCAAAGAACAGAAUUGUUUGAAUACAAUGUGUAAGUAUAAAUUUCAUGUCACAAAAAAUGUUAUAUGAGGUUUGGAAUUUUGAAGCCAAAAGCAAAAGGGAAGCUCAAGUGAAACUUAAUUAUUUAUUUGUUUUUAAACCAAAAUCGAAGCUUGACUAGAACGAUAUUUAGGUAACAAGUUCAUUCCUUGACUACUGAUAAACAUCUGGGAAUCUUGGCCACUUUGGUGAACUGCAAAGAUGAAGUUUCGUCAAAUUGGUCAAGAAAUUUUUCCAAUCUGCUCAGAGCUAUUUUUCAUUUUAUCAAUUUUGGUACUGUUAAAAUAGCCUCAGAAUGAGAGAUACUCUUCUUCAACUGGAAUGAAUUUAUGAAGAAUUCAAAAGCCUAAGUUUGUUUCUAGCCAGACCAUUAACCAACCAACGAAACUGAGAAAAAAUGGGCCACUUCUUCAGGAUUAUAUUAUUUCCUUGUGUAUCGGAAUCGCAGUAUUAAUUCACAAUUUUCAGAGAUUAGUAAAUUGGCCACUUCAUGGAUACUUCAAACCUUCUUCAUUCUUUUUUAUCGCUUUCUGAAACAUUAAAAUCAAGCUAACCUAAGCUAUCAAACUUAGGAUCACAUGAGCAUGUUUGUUUUUCUAGCACAUUUAUUCAAAAGAGUCAUUAACUUUCACAUAUUGCUACCUGAAUGGCUUAAGUUUUCAAAUUGAACUAAAUCUCAGAUUGUCUAUAUUCACUAACAUGUGAUAUAAAACAAAUAAGUUAUUAUCUAUUGUUGUAUAGUAAUAGCUUAGGGCUCCUUUUCUUAGGUUUCUAUCUUGUGUAAAUGGGUUCAGGGAAUAUACCAAACAUACUCUGGUUGAAUGGACUUAGAAUGAUAUAUACAAUAAUUCUGAAACUGAAGUAAAUACUUAAUGGUCAACAAUCCUUCACACGACGGUGAUGAGAAAAGCCUUUUAAAUUAUAAAUUAAGCGAUAUGAUGAGCAGUUUAUGUAGUUUAAAAAAUGUUAAAGCCUUUAAUGCUACGGGCAAUUUAAUUUUGCCAAAUCUGUGCGGUAUUCAUAGCAAUUUCCAUCGUCAUGAAUAUAAAAAAAUCAACAUAUGUAGCGGUUGUACAAAAAAAUCAACAUAUGUAGCGAUUUGGCGAUUUAAUUUUGCCAAAUCUGUGCGAUAUUCAUAGCAAGAUAUGAUUUACAUUUGGCUCUAAGUAACUCCAAAAUCUUUAACAGACAAAAGAACAGUAUAGGCAAUAGGUAUCACAAUAUUAGUUAAGGCAUUCAAUACUGAUUUUUCUGCUAAUAACUUGUUUGUACAACAAUUCCACUUGAAUUGUUUUAUCUUAGUCAAGUUCAAACUUUGAACAUAUAUAUCUCGUAAUAAUUUGAGUGGAACAAUACAGAACACAAACAUCAAAUUUUGAGUCAAACUCAACAAUAACAACGUGGAAAAACAUUUUGAAGCCUAAACUCUCAAGUGUAAAUGUAUAAUAAAUAAUUAAAACUAUGAUUAAGUACAGUUUUAGAUCAAAGUUUUAUGGCCUGAGCAAAGCCCCGCUUUUAUUGCCUUUGUUUAUGUAUUGUCGAUAAGAUAUUUCCUCCACCAAUGACUAACUGAGAUUCACAUUUUAUCUCAAAGAAGACUAAAGUUGAUGCAUGUGUCUUUGAGGUUUUCUAGCUGUCGUUUCAGUGCUUGGAAAUUUGCCUUCUGCAAGUUGGUUACAAAAUUCAGAGUUUUCUAUAUCUCAGCAUUCAGCUCUACAACGACGAGUUUUGGUAAUCUUUCCUGUUAUCAAAUAAUUAUAACUUUGUUAUUUCGUUUAACUGGGAAGUUGAUAAAUGUUAUAUCAGAGGUAACCAUUAUAUGCAUCAUUUUUCUCAUAUUGGUUUGUGUUGCAAUGAGUCUACAAAGUCCUUUGUUGUGAUCAUUUAAAGGAGAAUGCUUUUGUUGUUCAUUUCAUUUUGAUAAAGCUUUACAUCCAGAUUUUUACGCCAACAAGAACAAAAUUAAGCACUUUAUUCCAAAUCCUGCUAUAGUCUGCUAUGGCGACAUAGCAGCCAGUCGCGUCUAUUUUGAAAUCUGUAGUAGGGUGAUUUUCUGUAGCGGAUAUCAUACCCUCUUUAAUAGCGGUCACUUAAUGCUUCAGAAAUUUAUAUUAUAUUAUGAUUUUUUAGGCAUUUUAGGAGAACAAAAGAUCAGUUUUAAUAUCCAGAAACUUACUUCAAGCCUUCAGAUGCUUAAACUUGUUUAUGUUUGGUUUUUUUUGGGAUAUUUACUUAUGUGUUUUGUUUGUAAUCGUUAACGUUUUAUUGUUGUUUAAUAUGAACUUGAUAGUCAUAAUUAUUGUAUUAUGUAUAAAAUAGAUUCCAAACAGCUGUCAUCGUGGUUUUUGGAAUCGGCCCUCUACCUCUACGCAUUGCUAUUUGGGGAUUAUAGUGAGAUUUUGUUUUUAACUUGAAGGUUAAUGUGAAGUUCAAUUCAAGGAUGGAACAUCUAGAUGAGUUUUAAGAAAACUUGUUUCUUGAUCACACUGUCACUUGAAUCAAUCAAUUAUGGUUACUUGAAGACAAAAUUUUAAAACUUAUAUUUUUGGUUACAUGAUGUUCGUAAAAAUUCUUUAAAUUUAACUCUUUUUUGCUUUUACAAAAGUCUUUUUGUAUGAACCUAUUUCUUUUUUUUUUUUUUUUAUGGCAAUCUGAAUCCCAUUUUUCAAGAAAUUUUGAUUGUUACAUAAAGCCGACCUUAGUUUUCUAGUGAGAGAAACACCACCUUAUCAUCCGUCUACAUAUUUUUUUUCCUUCUUUCAAUCUAAAUGGUUUUCACAUAUAUCAAAGUUUUUCCUUUUGUGUUUUAUGUGAUUUUGUCGUCUAAGUGUGACGUUGUGUUGUUCGUCAACUUGUGCGGCGUUUAAUUUCACGUCUUGUCGUGGCGUUCGUUUAGUUCCUAUUGAAAGAUCAACUUUAGUCAAUUACAAAUUCAAUCAAUGAUUUAGGUGUCAAUGUUGCAGAUCCAGAAGCAUGGGUAUUUCGUGACUUAGAUUUUAUCAUAUUAUCUGUAGGCAUUUUGUCGUUGUAUGUUAUUAACUUGGGUACUUUAAGUUUGUUCUCAGAUUCAUCUUUUACGUUUGUAGUGAUCUUUGUAUUUGAUGAAUUGAAUCAAUCUAAAUGAAUGAAUAUCGUUUUGUUUUUGUAAAAAAAAAAAAUCAAUUUGGAUCAGCAUGCGCUAUAUAUCAUGUCAAUCACAACCACCACUAAAAUAAUUUGAAUUGCGAACAAUUUUCAAUUCAAAUCAUAUUUGUUAAUUUUCAAUUCAAAUAAUAUUUGUUAAUGAAGUUAAUAUUUUUUAAAUUCAAAUAACAUUUGUUAAUUUUCACCUCAAAGGGGACUAUGGUCAUCAAGUCAUCUCGGGUAUGUUUAUAAUUUUUGGACAUUAGGCCUCAAAGGGUACUAUGGUCUUAAAAAUAUUAUUUAUUUUGAAGCGACAUAAAUUAUUGAAUGAACUAUGGUUUUAAGACCAUUCUUAAUUUUGAAGGGACAAUAUAAUAAAAUGAGAUUCUUAAUUCCGAAGGACAUAACAAGGAGAUGAAGAGAAGAAAGACUUGUCAACAUAAGUGAAAGGGAGAAAGAAGAAAAUUAUUUGAAGUUUCAGAAAAUUAUUGAAUAGACUAUGCUUUUAAGAUCAUUUUUAAUUUCAAAGGGACAAUAUAAUAAAAUGAGUUUCUUAAUUCCAAAGGACAUAAAAAGGAGAUGAUGAGAAGAAAGACUUGUCAAUAGAAGUGAAAGGGAGAAAGAAGAAAAUUAUUUGAAGUUUCAUAAUACUCUUUGGUGUGUAGAAAUGACUAUGUGAGCUAUCUAUUUAUAAAGAAAAUUCACAAAUAAUAUGUUAGAAACUUUGGAUACAAAGUAAAUCAAGUAUUACUUUGCGGACAAGUAAUUCACGUAUUAGAUCUAAUAGAAAAAUAUCUUAAAUUGAGUACCAAAAUAUAUCGUAUUGAGUAAAAAAAUAUAUAUUAUAUUUUAACAAAACAUGAGGACUAAUUAAGAUAACACUUUCUAAUAUUGAUAAAUUAAUUACUUAAUUUAACAUUUCCAAAUUAUAAAAUAUAUCAAUCCAUAUUUUCUCCGAUGCUUACUUUAUUCACUUAAUUAUACGGAAAAAUAUAGAUAAACAUCCUUUUUUCAUACCACUCUUGUAUACACCCAUGUGGGAGGUUAUUUUGGUAAUGUGAAACAAAUGAUAUAGUUAUUUUGGACCCACAUUACCACGUGUUGCAUUUAUAUGUGGGGGUUUAAGGGGUGUAUGCCACCUAUGUAUGUCUAUGUAUAAGCACUCUAAUUAUACACCCAUUCUAUACAAACACUGCGUGUAUGAUCUAUACAACAUGAGGACUUCUACUUUUUUUCAAUUCAUAAAAUAUUAAUUACACGCAAUGUGAAAAUUUGUAUUUAAUCUUUUUAACUUAAUUUCCACGGUGGUUCCAAUAGUAACUACCGUUAUUGGUGAAGAAUUAAUUUUUCACAAGAUGUAAUGAUUUUGUUCAUUGAAAAUACGAUUCUGUCACCUUUCUUUCAAUUUCUCUUUUCGAAUAGUACUUUUAUUCAACAUGAUGCAUUUUUCAUGAAUGAAGCAAUGAUGACAAAAUUUUCAUUUCAAUAAAGUAACCCCCUCAUGAUUUGAGGGUAUUUAAUACCCUUUUAUAACAUGAGAAUUGCUCUUGACACAUUGCCAUUGGCUGAGAAACACUAGUAAUUUAUCUAAAUGCCCCUCGACAGUUAACCGAAUUAUGGAACCGGCUGCAGUUAACUACCGAGGAAAACUUCGACAGUUAACUGCCGAGGAAAACUGGAAACUUCGGCAGUUAACUGCCGAGGAAACAUCAAACCUGUUUUUUUUUGACAAAAACCAUAAAUUGUAAUUAAUAAUUAUGUUUCCAUCAUUACUUAAAUAAAAAAUAAACUUUGUGCACAAUUAUUUUAAUGUAGAAAAUAUAACAACAUAUUAUACCUUAAAAAAAUCGUUGUGCACAAUUAUUUUAACAAUUUUUUAUUAUUAUUUUUAUUUAAGUAAUGUGCAAAACAAUAAUCAAAUGCUUAAUUUUUACACUGAUUUAAAUGCUAUUGUUAUUAAGAUAUAUACGCAUAAGUAUAAUACUGCAAUUGUUUGAAACGUAUCAAAAUAAUGAUUGAAACAUUCAAAAUAAUGAUUGUUUGAAACGUACAAAAUAAUGAUGGAAACAAUCAAAAUCAAUAAAUAUUAUUAAUUACAAUUAUGGUUUUUGUCAAAAAAAAAAAUAAAACAGAUUUGAGGUUUCCUCGGCAGUUAACUGCCGAAGUUUUCCUCGGUAGUUAACUGCAGCCGGAUUUCUAAUUCCUCGGCAGUUAACUGCCGAGGGGACAAAAACGUAACUUACUCGUGUGCCAUAGCUAAAUGAAAUGUGGGAACAACAACUCUCUUAUGAUAUCAACCAAUCAAAUUGAAAAAUGUAUACUCUAUUAACUAAAUCAAAUAUGGAAAGAUUUAACCCAUUUGGGUUGCCCUAGUGGUAUAGACUUGAGACUUGGGAGUGUGCUCCUCCUCAAGAUUUUACAUAUAAUUUGUUAUUUGCAUUUUUACCCCAUAUUCAAUUAAGAGUUUAAUUGUGGUGCACUGACUGUGUAAAAGAACUUUACACAGUCAGCCAAUAACAUUUUGCCACAUAUUCAAUUAAUGUACUUUUAUGUUUCCAAUAAAAAAAUUUGAUGAGAUAUUUUAUUUCCACAUUUCAAUUGUUUAGACAAAUUUUGUUCUUCUCUUUUCUUUAAUUUUUUUUGUUUCAAAAUUUUAUUUUUCUACAUUUUUUUUGCACCAUAUCUUGUUUUUUUUCAAGCUUGGAUCCGAAAAAUAAUAAUUCCUAAACGUUAUUUUUGUCUGACAUCAAUUAUAUAUUUUUUUCUUAAUUAGAUUAUUAUAUAUUAUCAUAUGCUUUUUUUUUGGAAAUAUUAUCAUAUGCUUGUUGUAUCUAUCAAUAUUAGUCUAAACAUUAUCUUAUUUUAUCUAUAAGAUGACCAAAUGCUUUUAACUUAAACAAAUAUUUUUUUGACAAGUUAUAAGAAACGAAGACUUGUUUUAUUUCUUGAGAAAAAUUAUAAAACCUAAUUUAGUCUCUGAAAAAUAUAUAAUUCACUUUUAUAUUUUCAGAAAUAUAAAGAGAUGCAACUUAGUCUCUACUUUCUUUACUUUUUUUUAUCGAUGAAAGAAAGAUAAAGGAAAUAAAAUAAGAUACUAGCCAUUUUUUUUGAAAGAUACUAGCAAUUAUUUAGUAGUAUAAUAUAAGAGAAAAUAAAAUAAAAUCAUGAAAGGAAAGACAUGUGUAUUUAUAAAAUAGAAUAAAUAUAUUUAAACAAAAAUUAGAUAUGAUAAAAAUAAAAAAAUAAUUAUUUCAUUACAAUAAAUAUAAAAUAUAUUCUUUAACAAUUUUCAAAAUUUAUUAUCCAAUUCAGGGGAAGUCAAACAUUUUUAAGUCAAUGUGAUAACCACAAUUUUGAUUGAUCUCUAUUUAAGUAUCAUUGUUGCUCAUACAUUCAAGAAUAAAUUUCAAAUCAUCGUCAAAAAAGGAACAAGCCACAUUUCAACUAAUCACGGGUUAAGUCUUAUUAUAGUUCAUCUGAUGACAAGUAAGGUCAAACCAUUGACAUAACAUAACUAACAAAAGUUCGAUCAAAAACGAAUUAAGUCACACAAUAGUUAAUCUGAUUCAGAAGAAAGCUCAAACAUUUGUCAGAGGAGUAAGGCUAGUAACACCCUCUUUUGAACACCGUCCCUUGUAACGCCCUAGUCGAUAUAUUUAUUUAUUUUGAUUUAAUUAGAGUCUUAAAUGUGAUUUUAAUUAAUAUUUAUGAUGUUAUGUGGUGUGAUAUAUUUUAUUAUAUGGUUGAUAUUGAUAUUAAUAUAAUUAGGGGAGAAAUAAUUAUUAUUUAAGGGUUGAGGAGUUAAUUGGAAUUUAUUAAAAAUAAUGGGGAGUUAAGUGAAAUGAAGGGAGUUAAGUAAGUGGGAAGUUUAGAAAGAGAAGUUAGAAAAAUAGUUUCACGUAGAAUAAGUUUUGGGAGAAAAACAAGAGAGAAGCAAGAGAGAACCAAGGAAGAGCCAAGAGUUGAUUUUGCUGUGCAUUUUCUUCUGCAAAUUCAAGGUAAGGGUGAGGUUUGCUUCAAUAGUGUAGUUAUUAAUUUCUGAUUUUGAGUUUAACAGAGUUUUGGUGAGAAUUGGGAAAUUUGGGUUUUGUGAUAAAAUGAUGAUUUUGGGGUAGAGUUUGUUGUUCUGAUGUUAGAAUUAGGUUCUGGUUGCAUAGAACACUUCUUUGCUUAUCUGUAAAUUAAUUUGGGGAGUGAAAUUGAGGAAAAUGGGAUUUUGGGUGAAAAUUGUAGAAAAUUACGAGUCUGAACCAUCGCGACUCGCCUGGCGGAAGUAUUUUCGCCUGGCGGAUCAUCCCAGCAUGAUCUCGCCAUUUUCCCUCGCCAUUGGUUCGCCUGGCGAAAUAUCGCCAUUGGUUCGCCCUGGCGAGUUGUCUGGUGAGCUGCCUCGUAGACUUCCCGAGAGCACCAAUUUGGAGUUCGCCCUGGCGAAUUUGAGAUUUCGCCUGGCGAAAAUGCCUAUUUCAGAUUUCGCUUGGCGAGAUAGUAGUUCGCCUGGCGAAAUUGCCCAGGUUUGAGUGACUGAUCUGUUUGUUUAAUGAUGAAUGAUGUUGAUGUUUAAGCAUGAUUAUGAAUAAUUGUGCAUUUUUCUGAAUUGUUGAAUCACUGUUUGAUGAUGUUGUUGUUGGCUGUAAUGUAUGUUAUAUUCAUUGAAUCAUACAUGUUGUGUAAUUGGAGUCGUAUGGAAAUGUAUGUAUGGUCAAGUUGUAUGUAGAUAUACACAAGUGGGUCCAUUGCAUAUGCAUAAACAGCGGAGAUGACUCAUGUUCUGGAGCACUAGUUGUUCACAGCGGUGAGGGCUUCGGUCCUGAUGAAUGCUUUAACUAUUCAAAAGCGGUGAGGGCUUCGGUCCUGUUUGGUACCACAUGCAUAAUUGGAUAUUUGAGGAGUCUUAGUGGUGUCAUCAUGUCAUGCAUGAGUCUGAUUGUUGGUUGUAGUUGCCAUACUAACGAUGAUGAUGUUGUUGAUGGAUAUAUAUAUAUAUAUAUAUAUAUUAUGAUGGAUUGAUUUGAUGAGAAGUUGUUGUUGCUUGUGAAUUAUAUACUUAUAUUUACAAGAUGAUAUAACUGAAAUUAAUAGGGUGUUAGAUUCAAUUGAAUAUUUUAAUAUCUAUAUGGGUGUUAGAUUCAACUGAAGAUUUUAAUAUCUAUAUUUUAUUGUUGUGAAUCUCACCCCUUCUGCUUGAAAAUGUUGCCCUUCCUAUGGGUAACUUGCAGGUGAUCCUGAGUAGUCGGUGGUGGCUCAAGUGUCGUGUCUAGGGCUCCGAUACAUGGGAUGAGACUUAUUAUUAUGAAUUGUUUUCUUUCCUAUGUAUCAAUUUUGGAACCUGAUGUUAUGGCCCUUUUGUGGUUGAAUUUGUUGUUAGGCUUUAUGCCAAGAUAUUAUUUUGAUGGUUUUAAACAAUUGUUGAUGGUUGAUAAUAAUCCGCUGCAAGUUUAACGAUGUUUGAAAGUUGUUUAAUCAAAUAGUUUCAUAUGCUAUUUAAGGAAUUUUGAACUGUAGUGUAGCAUGCCCGUUUGGUUUGAACUCUGAUGUUGAAUUAAUUAUUAUUUAAUUAUUUUUGGGUAACGGGGUGUUACAUCCCUAAUACUUAUUCUUUUAUUGGUUUAAAUCAUUGUGAGUCUACAAUUUGAAAAUUGAACCCCAACAAAGUGGUGGGACAUACAUUGAUUUCAUCCAAUAAAUAAAUAAGUGUUAACCACAGUUCGAGUAACCGCGAAGGUUCGCUAUAGUUCAUCUGAUUCAUAAAAAAGGUUUAACCUAGGUUAUAAAAUGCUAUGACCAUAUUUUAAUGAGUAAACUACAUUCCUCUACCUUGAAAGAUGCUUGAAUUACACUCCACUCUCCUCUUAUGUUAAAUAUACACUUCCCUCGCCUCUUAUGCAAAACAUAUUAGAAAAUAUUUCACAUUUAAAAUGUAAUUUGCUCUAUUUUAAUUGAUCGCAUGUUGAGUUUCAUUUUGGUUAUAUGAUGUAGAAGAAAGGUUGAACCUUUGUCAAAAAAUAAAAUCACAGUUUAACUGAUAAAAAGUUAAAGCUCAGUAUAGUUCGUUUGAUCCAUACGAACGAAUCAUUAUAGUUCAUUCAUCUGAUAAAAAGUUAAGUCUCAUUAUUGUUAUAUCCGCAAUUUGGUAGAAAGGUCGAACCUUUGUCGGCGAAUGAAAAAACCAUCGUUCGGCUAAUUAGAGGAUAUAAUCAUUGUAGUACGACUUAAUCGUGAGACUCCAUUAAUUAUAAGAACACUAUUCUUAAAGAAUCCUCAAUUAAGGUUCAUUGUGAAGUGGUAUAACAUUAAAGCGUAAAGAUCAUUAUGUGGGUAUACUGAUGAUCACGUCUCAUAGAUCAUGGUCUAAUUUGAUUCUCUCCGAUUUUGAUUUCGAUGGUCUAAUUUGACUUAUUAUUAAAAACAAAACAAAAAAUAAGUAUAUUUCAAAAAAUAUUAAAAUUAAACUUAUUGAAUUAAUUAUUCAUAGUUAAAAUUUAAAUUAAAUUACAGUGCUAAAAGAUAAAACGUGAUAACUAGUUAAACAUUAUUUAAUAAUUUGGAUCCAAAGAUAAUUUGGUGAUAUUUCAAUGCUAAAUAGAAAAUAAAUUUUAGAAAAUAAAAAUCAGAGUAAAAUAAAAUUAACAAGGGAGCGACACAUGUACAUAAAAAAUAUAAAUACUAGAUUACUUUUUAUUUUUAUUGAAAAUAUAAAAAAUAUAAAUUAACAAAAGAAACUAAAAGUAUAACAAAAUUUAUAUAUUUAAUAUAAAAUACACAAGUUUCUAUACAAUUUUACUAUUUCAAACUUCUCAAUAUAUGCAAGUUUAACAUGUGCAAACUUGCACACAGUAAAAAAAAAAAAUCCAUAUAACAAAAAUCGAGUUCUAUGAUUUUAAAAUAUAUUUUUAACAAAAAGGUGUUUUAAAUUCAUUAAUUGCAUAACGUUUAGAUCAAUAUCUUUUUUAUUCUUAUCAAAGAAAAUAAUUUUUAGACUAAUAUAUUCUAGUUUAGGAAAAUUUAAUGUUUAUUUUUUUUUUGAAAUAUAUAACGUUAGCUUUUUGACAUGUUGAAUAAACAUUAUAUAUUUCAAAAAAAAAAAAAAAGGAUUUUGUGAAUUUGUGAGAGAAGAAAAGAUGGUGUAAAAAAUUUGCAGAAAAAGAAGAGAUGAAACAAAAAAAUAAUAAAGAAAAUAAAAUAUGCUUAAUUAAAGAAAGAGUUCAUUAGAUUUCUUGAUUUAAAACAUAAAAACCCAUUAAUUAAAUGUGGGGAGAAUAUGUAAAUAACAAAAAUAUAUUCAAAAUACAUAAAAUGUAAUUAUAUGUUUGACUUUAUUUAAUGUAGUUCAUAUUGAUCAUUUUAAUUGGUCCACGUCAGCAGAGGGUAUUUACCCACUAAUUUAGAGAGGGUAAUCUAAAAAAACCUUUCGAUAAUUGUUGCGAAUGAAAGUGUAGGGACAACGGAGAAGAAAACUGAAUAUCAAUCAAUUCAGAUGACAAAAUUCAUUUUUCACAUGGAGUAAUGAUUUUGUUCAUUGAACCAUUUCAUAUUCAUUUUCAAAUGGUCCUUUCAAUUCAUUAAUUAUGAAGAAUUUUUACCAAUGAAAAUGUAGGAAAAACAAAAUGGAAGUAUCUAAGUCAAAUUUAUCAACUGAGUAUCAAUUCAGAUGAGAAGUUUGUUUUAAUGCAAUUGGUUUAACAUGAGAUCAUUCAAUGUAUCGUUUUCCGACAAUGUAAAAGUACUUAAAUUUCAUGUUACAUGAAAUCUAAAAGUAACAAGUACUGCAACUUUGUUUUCAAAUAAAAAAGAAACAACAUAUGAAACAGUGUCUACUAUAGUUCUGUAAUUUUCCACAUGCUAGUAUGCUUCCAUUAUUCUCUUUCCACAUAGCAAGUGUUGGUGGUGAUAGAAAAGAACAAGGUUCAUAAAAACAAAGUCAAUCUGAAAUUAUUAGUCUUGUUUGAAAAGAAUAAAGAUAUGCUAAUAUGAAUAUACAAUGUAUGGUAACGAAGUUCGGCUAAGUGAAUAUAAACAAGGUUUUAGGAAGUGGACAUGAUUUUGCUGCAGCAAACUACUAUAAUCCUUCUACUUUUUUACACUAUUAAUUAACUUAUUUAAUUAAAGUGUUAAAUAUGUUUUCUUUUCUUAUAAAUAUUCUAAUGUUUUAUUUUUCUUCGACUACUCCUCAAAAGUUUUCGAUCACCAUUUUUAGUCUCUACUUUUCAAUCAACUCAUUUGUAUCAUUCAAAAACUUGAAGGAUUUUUUGUAAGAAUGUUUGUAAUAUUAUAAGAAUUUCUUCUAAAAAAAUAUUUUUUUUUUUAACAAAACAUGAAUUAAAUGAGUUUUUUUUUUUUUUUUUUUUUUUUCUGUUUUUGGCGUUUAAAAAUUUAGAUUUAAUUCAUCUUUGACUAAAAAUCAAUUUUUGCAAGAAUGUUUAUAAUUAUAAGAAUUUCUUCCUAAAAAAACUAUAAUUUUUUAACAAAAACAUGCAUUAAAUAUGAACUUUUAUAUUUUUGACGCUUAAAAAAAUCAUAUUUAAUGAAUGUUUGCCUACAAAUUGCUUUUGACGCUCACAUUUGGGGAUGUAAACAUAUUUAUUAAUAACUUACUGUAUACUUAAUUAGAUAAGCUUGAUACUAUUGUUUGUAUCAAAUCAAAUCCUUCUCAUGUCAUAUACCGUGAACAUAUGCAAAUUGCGAAUUAUAUGCCGGUGGUACUUUCCAUACAUAUUCUGCCCCUUUUUUAAAAUUUAAUGUUCAUUUAAUUUGAUUUUAUUCUUUUAUAAAAAAAUAAAAAUAAAAAUUAGACUGAGGCAAUAGUGCUCAAAUACAAAGCAGAUAAGACUUUUAAGUUCGAAGAUAUUUACAUUUACUUCCCUUUAAUUUAAAGACACGGGAAAGGGCUCUAACCAUGAACUUAUGAAUUCAAAUAUGUAUACCACCAUUGUUAUCAAAAACGCGACUUAAGUCCCAAAAUCCUGGUUUUUGCGAUUUUGUGUAGCUUCAACGACUCAAAUCCAUAGCAAAGUCUUAAAAAUAGGCAAAAUCCAAUCAAAAUCGCACAAAAUUGUGAAAUCCAUUUAAAAUCGCAGGAUUUUUUUUCAUUUUUUGAUAAAGGUCAAUUUUGACCCGGUUUGUAAAUUGACCCGAUUUGAAUCCAUGACCCAUUCUAUAAAUACCCAAAAGGAAAACAUUUUUCAUUCUUUCAAUUCUCCCACAUUUAUGUAUAUGUAUUAUGUGGACUUUGAAUUAUAGUCAUUUAUGACUAUAUGCAAUUUAUAACAUAUAUUUAACAUUAUUUUUGUUUUGGUAUAAUCCUCGAUUUUGAUUGCGAUUUUACGAGUCCCGAAUUUGCUAUCCUAUAUCGAUUUUAUAAAAGUCCUUCAAUAAAAUCCUUCCAUUUUGAUUGCGAUUUUACGAGUCUCGAUUUUGCUACUCCCUUUUGACUUGAAGUAAAGUCUCAAUUUUGAUAACCUGUAUACCACCCAUGUUAUAUGACGUAUGUUAUAGAUAUUAUCCAAUCCAACAAUGAAUUUUCGAAUCGUUUUCACAUGCUACAUUUGGAGCAUUAAGCUGUGACAAAUUUUCCAAUUCAUUAAUUUAGAAUAAUUAUGGUCAAUGAAAAAGUGUGGAGAAAAUAACCGGGUAUCUCAGUCAACAGAUAUAGGUUUUAUGGAGAAAUUUGCUGUAAACUGUGAAUCCCGGAUACGAGAUACGAUACUACACUGAUAUGUCGACACGGUAAAAUUUCAAAAAUCAAGAUACGAUACGGCUGUGAUACGUUAAUAAAAAAAAUUAUAUAAUUAAAUGUACAAUAUAAUUAUAACCAUUUUUUUUAAUAUGCAAACAUAUUAACAACAAAAGAAACUAGUCAUAGGCUCAUAACACAUCAACAUAAAUAUAAAUUAUAUUGACGAUUAAGAGAGCGACGAUUAGUCAAUUACAUACACAAUACAUAAAAUAAAAUAAAAAACACCAUAAGUGUUAUACUAUAUCCAAAAGAAACAUUGUCAGUGCUAUACUAUAUCGAUCCAAAAAAGAAGCACUAUACUCAAGAGUUAAAUUAUUUUAUUUAACGUUAAUUGAAAAUUAUUGGGGCAGGUAAAGAUGCAGGAUAAUUAUCGGAUUCUUUCCUGAUACGUAUCGGGAAGUAUCGAAUAAUUAUUGAAAAAAAAAAAUUUAAUCUUCGUAUACUCUUCUGAUACGUAUCGGGCAGGUAUCAGUGCAGGUUACACAGGAGAUACGAUACGUCAACCAUUUUGAAGUAUCGGAGCUUCAGGUGACCAAUUCAUGUAUCAUGUGAAAAUACCAAUAUUGUCUUAUAAGAUGAAUUGGAAAUUGCUAGAGUAAUUUUUAUAGUCUAUGAAAUAUAAUUCCUGUGUAAAAAUAGGAUAAAGUUGCAUACAAUACAUUAAAUGGUGGGACCCUUUUUCGAACCCUGCGUAUAUGGGAGCUUUAAAUGCACCAAGUUGCUUUUUUUUUUUAUUUUUUUAUUUUUUUUAUUUUUUUUAUGAAAUAUAAUUAUUUGUAGUGGUGUUACAAGUUCAAUCUUGAAACUUGAAUUAACAAAAGAAGAUGACAACUACUGCAAUUAUCCGAGUAUCACAUAUUGAUAAUUAAUACAAGAAACGUUAAUAGAUGCUUGAAAACUCCUAAUAAGUUUCAAUUGUACUCUUUGUAUCAAAUACUACCCCGUCCCUAAUUAUAGGACCCUUUUAAAAAAAAUAACGAGAAUUAAGAUAGUGAAUAUUUGUAUUAAAUAUGUUUGUAAUUAUUAUUGUUUUUAUAAAUUUAUCCUUCAAAAGAGAGAGUUGGUUUAUGUUUUCAACAUGUUAUUUAUUGCUGAUUGAAGAAAAAGAUGAAUAAUAAAUAAAGACAUGUAAAGAAAAGGCAUGUAUAUAUGAAAUAUCAAUGGUGAUAUGUCCAAAGUCUUCUUUGCUUUUUUCUAAAAUCUUGUUGUUUGGAGCUGUCACAAAUCUACUCAUUCACAGGAGCUAUUUUUUUUUUUAAUGCUUUCCCAUUAGCAAAUAUCUUAUAUAAUCACACUAGAUCAUCUCCUAACAUAUGUCAUUAAGCUAAUAACAACUCUUUCAAGCAAUCACAUACCUAUUCGAAUUAUAGCUAUAUCUUUUUUUCUUGUGAUCCAAAGAAUCAUUCAUGAUGGCCAUUCUUACUACACAAAUCUCACUUCUUUUGCUUAUACUUUUAUCUAUAACCACAUUCCACAAAACCAUGUGCACCAAUCACACAUUGGUUCAAUGCAAUGAGAAAGAUAGAGAGACAUUGUUAACCUUUAAACAUGGCAUCAAUGAUAAUUUUGGUUGGAUAUCAACAUGGUCAAUUGAAAAAGAUAGUUGUGUAUGGGACGGAGUCCACUGCGACAAUAUUACUGGAAGAGUUACAAAACUUGAUCUCAGCUACGAUCAAUUGGAAGGUGAGAUGAAUCUUUGUAUUCUAGAACUUGAGUUUCUCAGUUACUUGGGUUUGAGUGAGAAUCAUUUUGAUGUGAUAACUAUUCCAUCCAUUCAAAAAAACAUCACACAUUCCUCUAAACUUGUCUACCUUGACUUAUCCUACAGCUUAGUUAAUGAUAUGAAUAAUCUUGAUUGGCUUUCUCCACUUUCUUCCAUAAAAUAUCUCAACCUCGGUGGAAUUGAUCUUCAUAAGGAAACCAAUUGGCUUCAAAUAGUGAAUUCACUUCCUUCACUGUUAAAAUUACAGUUGGGUGAAUGUAACCUGAACAACUUCCCAUCUGUUGAGUAUUUGAAUUUGUCUUCACUUGUAACUCUUGAUCUUUUUCGAAAUAACUUCAACUUUAAUUUACCAGAUGGGUUUUUUAAUCUCACCAAAGAUCUCACUUAUCUUCACCUUUCACAAAGUAAUAUAUAUGGUAAGAUACCUUCAAGCUUACUAAACCUUCAAAAACUGAGACACCUUGAUCUCAAAUAUAACCAACUACAAGGAUCAAUUCCAGAUGGAAUAAGCCAACUACCAAAUAUUCAAUACCUUGAUCUUUCAUGGAACAUGUUAAGUGGUUUCAUUCCUUCAACUCUAGGAAACCUCUCAUCCUUAAUUUCCUUAUCGAUUGGCUCUAAUCAUUUCACUGGUGAAAUUUCACAAUUUUUUUUUCCAAACUCUCUAGUUUAGAAUGGCUAGACUUGAGUAAUUCAAAUUUUGUAUUCCAAUUUGAUUUGGAUUGGGUUCCUCCUUUUCAACUCUCUUACCUAUUUUUGGGAAAUACAAACCAAGGCCCAAACAUUCCAUCUUGGAUAUAUACACAAAAGUCACUGCAAAAUCUCGACAUAUCGAGCACGGGAAUUUCAUUGGUAGAUAGAAAUAAGUUCUCGAGCCUUAUAGAAAGAAUACUUUAUAAACUAUUAUUGUCAAACAAUUUCAUUGCGGAAGACAUAUCUACCUAACACUUAAUUGUUUGGAGUUAAGGUUGGAUCACAAUAAUUUCACAGGAGGACUCCCAAACCUAUCACCAGAGGCUGAGAUAGUUGAUUUAUCUUACAACUCCUUCUCAAGAUCAAUUCCACAUAGUUGGAAGAACUUGUCAGAACUGAGAGUCAUGAACCUGUGGAAUAAUAAGUUGUCUGGGGAACUUCCAUUAUACAUCUCUAACUUGAAAGAAUUGGAGACCAUGAACUUGGGAGAAAAUGAAUUUUCUGGAAACAUACCGGUAGGGAUGUCACAAAACUUAGUAGUGGUCAUAUUUAGAGCCAAUAAAUUUGAAGGGAUUAUUCCACAACAAUUAUUCAAUCUCUCUUAUUUGUUUCACUUAGACCUUGCACAUAACAAACUUUCAGGAUCUUUGCCACACUUUGUCUACAACUUGACUCAAAUGGAUACUGAUCAUGUGAAUGAAUGGUACGCUACCACCCUUGAUUUAUUUACCAAAGGUCAAUAUUAUGUGACUGAUGUUAACCCGCAUAGGCGAACUGUUGACCUUUCAUCCAAUAGCUUGUCUGGAGAAGUUCCAUUGGAAUUGUUUCGGCUUGCUCAACUUCAAACGUUAAACUUAUAUCACAACAAUUUGAUUGGAACAAUACCAAAAGAGAUUGGAGGCAUGAAAAAUGUGGAAUCUCUCGAUCUCUCUAAUAAUAAGUUUUUUGGUGAAAUUCCGCAGACCAUGGCUCGCCUAAACUUUUUAGAGGUUUUAAAUUUAUCUUGCAAUAAUUUCAAUGGAAAAAUCCCAACUGGAACACAACUUCAAAGUUUUAAUGCAUCAAGUUACAUUGGGAAUCCUAGACUAUGUGGAGCUCCUCUUAAUAAUUGUACCAUGAAAGAAGAAAAUCCUAAGACUGCAACGCCAUCAACAGAGAAUGAAGGUGAUGACUCCAUAAAAGAAUCAUUGUAUCUAGGCAUGGGAGUUGGAUUUGCAGCAGGUUUCUGGGGGAUUUGUGGUUCUUUGUUUCUUAUUAGAAAAUGGAGGCAUGCAUAUUUUCGGUUUAUAUAUGGAGUGGGUAACAGGCUUUAUGUAACUUUAAUGGUAAAGUUAAAUAGCUUUCGUAGAAUAUGAGCUUCUGCUAGUAAAGUUAAAUAGCUUUCGUAGAAUAUGUAUGGCAUGUUUCUUUGAUCAGACUAAGGAGUAUUUUGCUUAAUUUUGUAAUUCUAUGCAUAACUUAUAUACAUUUUGUUUGCUUCAUAUUUUAUCAGGUGAUUAUGUAUGUGGAAGAUCAUGCACUCUUAUAAUUUUCCAACAGAGCCAAGAGUCAAUAUGUUACUUUAUCACUUGUUGUAAUGUUUUUGUUGAAUUGUAAGUUUUUAUACAAUUUAAAUAAUGGUUUCAUUCAGGUUGUCAUCUGGUUUUUAUACAAGUCAAAGUUUAAAAUAUAGAGUUUUAAAUAAGAAGUAAACAUGCAAAAAACACAACUUUAUUUAAAAUAUUAGUAUGGACGCUAAAAUUGUCUCACAUAAAAAUUCAUCUAACACUCUAUUGCUCAAUAAUCCCUGUAAAAUUGCUCGCAUUUCUAAAAAAAUCUAUUUAAAGUUAUGAUCCAAUUGGGGUUCACACAAAAAAAAAAAAAAAGAUUGGAAGUUACAGCUUAAUUGGUUGAAAUUUUAGAUUGAAGAUGUGUUUGGUGUCCAACAAAAUUACACGAUACAUAUAAAUAUAUUUACUUUAAACACUUUUAUUUUUCAUAUUUUAUUAUCGAUGUUUACCUGUGUAUGGGUUGUGUCCACUGUUCAUUCAGUGCUUCUUGACUAUGUAGAAUAUACAGACAAAUAAUUUAUAUGCUCAUAUUUUAUUGUUCUUUGAACAUGAUUAUAUGCUCUCUUAAUCAAUCCAUACAUAUUUUAUGAUGAAUCACAAUGUUUCAUCGUUUUAACAUCUCUUCUUUCAAAGAAUUUUUUUAUCGAAUACGUUAUUGAACCCGUGCGAAGCACAGAUUUGUAACUAGUUUUUUCUAACAAUCAACCCCAAUUUGAAUGUUUUACACAUACUUUCUUAUCAAUCUUUUUUCAAUUUAUCUUUUUUCAAGCUUUCCUAUACCUCAGCAUCUUAUAUAAAACCACAAUAAAAUCUCACAGCAAAUCAUACUCCCAUUUGAAUUAGUUCUUCUUUUCUGAUUCUCAAACACUUAUUUAUGAUGACAAUUCUUACUACACAAAUUUCACUUCUUUUGUUUCUAUUUUUAUCUAUAACCACAUUCCACAAAUGUGCAACAAUCACACUAUGGUUCGAUGCAAUGAGAAAGAUCGAGAGACAUUGUUAACCUUUAAACAGGGAAUCAAUGAUAGUCUUGGUAUGAUUUCAAUGUGGUCGACUGAAAAAGAUUGUUGUUCUUGGGAAGAAGUCCACUGUGACAAUAUUACUGGUAGAUUUGUCUUACAACUCCUUCUCAGGAUCAAUUCCACAUAGUUGGAAGAACUGCAAAGAACUGAUAAACUUGAACCUAUGGAGUAAUAAGUUGUCUGGUGAUGUUCCAGUGUACCUAUUUUCUAUGAAACAAUUAGAAACCAUGAACUUGGGAGCUAACGAAUUUUCUGGAACCAUACCAAUCAAAAUGUCACAAUCCUUAACAGUGGUCAUAUUGAGAGCCAACCAAUUUGAAGGGAAUAUCCCACAACAACUAUUUAAUCUCUCUAAUUUGUUUCACUUAGACCUUGCACAUAACAAACUUUCAGGAUCUUUGCCACACUGUGUGUACAACAUGACUCAAAUUGAUACUGAUCAUGUGGAUGAAUGGCACGAUACCAUCAUUGAUUUAUUUACCAAAGGUCAAGAUUAUGUGUCUGAUGUUAACCCGGAUAGGCGAACUAUUGACCUUUCAGUCAAUCACUUGAUAGGAGAAGUUACAUUGGAAUUGUUUCGGCUUGUUCAAGUUCAAACCUUAAACUUAUCUCAUAAUAACUUGAAUGGAACAAUACCAAGAGAGAUUGGAGGCAUGAAAAAUAUGGAAUCUCUUGACCUCUCUAGUAAUAAGUUUUAUGGUGACAUUCCUCAGAGCAUGUCUCUCUUAACCUUUUUAGGUUAUUUGAAUUUAUCUUACAACAAUUUUGACGGAAAAAUCCCAAUAGGAACUCAACUUCAAAGUUUUAAUGCAUCAAGUUACGUUGGAAAUCCUAAACUAUGCGGAGCUCCUCUCAAUAAUUGUACCAAGAAAGAAGAAAAUCCUAAAACUGCAAUGCCAUCUACAAAAAAUGAAGAUGACGACUCUAUCAAAGAAUCAUUGUAUCUAGGCAUGGGAGUUGGAUUUGCAGUAGGUUUCUGGGGGAUUUGCCGUUCUUUGUUUCUAAUUAGAAAAUGGAGGCAUGCAUACUUUCGGUUUGUUGAUAGAGUGCGUGACAAGAUCUAUGUUACUUUGAUCGUAAAGUUAAACGGGUUUAAAAGAAAUUGAGCUCCUGCUAUUGUUAAGGUUAGUGGAACCUACUUCAUAGUUUUAUUGAUCUGACUAUAAAGUAUUUGUUUUAUUUUGUAAUUCUAUGCAAAACUUAUAUCCAUUUCAUAUGCUUCAAUCUUUAUCAGGUGAUUAUUAAUGUGAAAGAUUCUGCAUUUUUAUGCAAAUCAUGGAAGGUUACGAGUUGUAUGAGAUGAGAUCAUACAUGACUGUACAGUUGUUGCUGCUCAUUUCAUUUUUCACUUGUUGUAAUGUUUUUGUUCAUUGAAAAACCUUUUAUACAAGCCACGGAAUGAAUGCAUUCAUGUCGACAAUUGUUCUACAUAUAUCUCACCUUAAUUAUUGUACCAAAUGUAGUGAUUUUAGACAAUCUUAUAGAUAGUUUUGUGGAGAAUGUAGAUUACUUCUUUCUAUUAUCUCUCUAUAUUUGUCUAAUUAUAUAAAAAUUUGCAAUGAAAAUACCAAAGAUGAUAGAUUUCAAACUAUACAAACUAAGUCUUACAAAACAGCAUAAGUGUUUGGAUGUUUCUCUCUAUUUCUUACUAAUUAACUUCUUUCAUACUCCAAUAUUUGUACAUAAUCAUAUUCAAAGUUUAAUAUAUAAUUGAGAAUACAUAUAUACUCAAUGCCUUAUAACCCAACACAUUGCAAUGUGAAAGAUCUAUGGAAAAAAUUACCAUCACAUAUAAGAACAGAAUUGUAACAUUCAAUUUGUCAUCCCGGUUUUGGAAUCGGCCGCUACGCAUCACUAUUACCGAAUAUUAUAAAAUUUGAUGAUUAUAUCUCUUUCACGUUUAUUACUUAUCAAUUAACUGAAUGUAUUUCAUGUUUCCUCCUAUUUAUGAUUCGCAAAUAGCACAAGGAAAACAGAAUCUUGCACCUCAAUGAAGCAUGAGUAGAUGCCAGCCAAAGUUGAGAAUUUUCAAUUAUUUCCAUUCAAUUGCAGGAAGGAUUGAUCCCUAAAAUCUGCAGUAUAAAUUUUCCUGGUACUCAAAAAAAGUUUAACUUUGUAUAGAUUAGUUGUCAAGAUAUAUAAGCAAGACUAAAUAAUAAAAACCACUGAUACGUUGUUCCUUGAUGGUUUGAAAGAUAUCCCGUAGCAAUCAUAGAUGAAGUUUGAAAUGAUUUAUAUAGAAGAUACACACAUGCUUGCAGAAUGCUGGUCUGAGAAAUAUUGCACACAUAUAGCAGACAUCUUUUCAACAAAAGGGUUAGAUCCAUAACUAAUCGAAUCAAUAUCUCGGAUACAAUAUAUUGCACAUGAAUGUUGGAGAGACAAAAGGAUAGUAACAUUUAACCCUGCAAGCUGAACAUGGAAAAAGGGUAUGGGGAAAAGAGAGGAUUAGAAGAAAAGGUGGGGUGAGUAAACAAUUGCGGAAGCUGAGCAUGCACCUUUGCGAUGCACACCUCAGUGUUGAUCAAUCAGAUCUUGUUUAUGAAGAUGAUGAAAACGAUGAUGAUUUAGCUGCCGAGUUUAACCAUGAUGAUCUAAAGCAAGAAGCUGAUGAGGAAAUAAAGGAAGAGCUUAACCAUAUGACUGGUGAGGAAAAUAUUGAUGAGCUACAUGCAGCUACUGAGAUUCAUCAAGAUCUACGGCCGUGUGAUCAUAUAAUGAUAGAUGACUCACAGUUUUGUGAUGUAAGUCACGAUAUCAACAACACAACACUUUCAGAUGACGCCGAUGACAUCAAUCACACACAUUUCGGUGACCCCGAUGAGGUCGAUCCACUAGAAAUCAAUCCAACAGAAGAUUUUGUUAAUGCUCAACUUUCUCAUGUUAAUGAUAUAAGUGAACCACCAACAUCUGAUAUGGCAGAAAUGGAAGUAUCUCAACAUUCUUCCAUUGAAACUCAUGGGGAUAUUUCACAGAAAGGUGAUUGUAGUGUUGCUGUAUAGAGUGCAUACCUUACAUACAUUAUUUGUAGACAAGCAAAAUGCAAAUUUUUUUAGGCAGACUUCAUUUUAUGAGAGGUGAUCAUGCCCUGUAUAAUUAUUUAUAUUCAUUUUUUGAUGUGUCACUUGCAUUUUCCUUACAUUAGUGUGUAGUGGAUGAUUUAGAAACAAUCAUUGCAUAUAUUAAAAUUGAAAUUGUAUAUUGAAAAAUUAAUAUGUGUAAUGCUUGUUACUGAUGAUGUAUCGAUGGUUCAUGUCUGUAAUAACCCGCAUGUAAAAAUUCAGUAUCAGUUAUUUUAUCAUUGGAAAAUUUAAGAGAAGGACAAAAUGGUAACUGUUCACAAAACUUUUCAGGACCGAAUCAUAUUAUUCCAACGGACUAUUGAGAAUGGAAUUUGCCGCUUAAAACUUUUACGACAUUUAAUUGGAUAUUUUAGUUUGAAGAAUAGUAUGCAAAGGGCAAAUUGGUCAUUUACAUAAAAAGGUACAAAUAGAAUAAAACUAAAAAAAAUUUCCACAUUCUUCUACACUCUUCUCUCACAAAAAAAUCAGAACCUCCCUCUUCUCUCUUCCCCCUCCCUCACGUGUUCCUUUCUUUCACUCCCACAUUACCUAUUUCACUUUUGUAGCAAAACCAAGCUAGAAAUGACAUUUCAUGUUGUAGAAAAGUGAUUUUUGUGUUGUGUUUUGAGCGUUAGAGGCAAGCUUGAGCAAGAAACAAGAAUAUUGAAGCUAGGGUUUGGCUUGGCAAGAAGAUUGAGGCAGGGGCUGAAUGUAAGUAUAAGUGAUUAAUAGCUUAAAUUGAGGUAAAAGUGAUUAUUUUGAGAAGAAAUUCAAGUUAUGUUGAUUGAUUAGAUGUAUAAGUUGUUACUGACUUUGGGAUUCUAUAUGACUCUGUUUUUGGGCUGUUAGUAGUAUAAAUUUUGUUGNNNNN